This 63690-nucleotide long non-coding RNA is filed under the name Citrus maxima (pomelo). Its description in RNAcentral is "long non-coding RNA (CMAX_LNC003342)". The record is from RNAcentral. Lineage: Eukaryota; Viridiplantae; Streptophyta; Magnoliopsida; Sapindales; Rutaceae.
UUUUUUUUUUUUUCUGUUCUUGUAUUUUCUGAGUUGCAGGCCUGGGUUUCUUCCACUUAUAAGAAAAAUGAGUUGUAUUCAUACGUGUUCCUGAUUCAAGCUUAUUCUCAAUUUGGUUUUGUUCCUCCAUAAAACCUCUUGAUUGAUUAGAAUUUAAUGAAAAUAUGAUUAGGGUUUGAUAAAAUUGUGUUGAAUAUAGAAAUGGGUUCAAAGAGUAAAAAUUAUAUUUUUUAUAUAUUAUAUUUUGAGUAAUGAUACAGCCACAAACUCUUGUACAAACUUAUUUUGUACAAACUGAUGUGGCAUGAUAAGAUUGGUUGAAUUAAAUAUCACUUGGCCCACAUGAUUUGUUUUUAUUAAUUUAUAUUUUCAUUCAACCAAUCUUAUCAUGCCACGUCAGUUUGUACAAAAUAAGUUUGUACAAGAGUUUGUGGCUGUAUCAUUACUCUUAUAUUUUAAUGUCCAUAACUAUAAUUUAAUUCAAGGGUAUUUUAAUUAUAAAAAAUUAUUUUCAAAAGUGGGUUUAAUGAGUAGUAUGGUGGGUUCAAAUAGAGGAGCUAAACAAAAGGGGGUUUUAAAAGGAUAAUUGAGGAGCUAAUAAAGUAAACCACCACUUCAUAUCUUAUCAGACCCAAUUAUAUUUUUUAUCAAUUUUUUUUUCUUUUUUUUUUUAUAGGAACAUCCAUACAGAAUCUAGUUCGAGCUUCAUCUAGUCUCAGCAUAAAGUAAUAGAGUCAUCAAGUCUGGUUGUGAGGUAAUGUAUCUGCGUAUUCAUUUAGGUUAACAUCUGCUAAAAUGUUACCUACUACAACACUGCGUGAAAGAACUAAACGUUUUUUUAGCAUCCAACAAGGUGUUUCAAUUACUCUAUUAUUAGAUGCGUCAUUGCCUCAGUCUAUUAUUGUUUAGUACAGAUCAGUACUUAGCUAAAUGGUUGCCAUCUUCCCAGUCUUAUACUCUUAUAAUUGAGGCCGAGGACGAAGUAGAAUUUCUCAUAAUUAUAUCUGAGACAAGGCAUCUUAUUCAUUAGAGAUUUUCGAGGCUUCUAAUUGUAACUAUCUCCAUGAUUCUCUCAAUGCUCUUUGAUCUUGUACUUCACAAUACAAAUAAUGAAAUCGAAAUUAUUACUUCAACCUUCAAUUGUUCUGGUCUUAAUGAAGCUGCAGCAAUUAGAGAUUCACGUUGUACAAUUGAAAUUAUUUAAUUUCAACAUAAUUCUCACCAAUAAUUGCUGUUUACAAUUAUUCUCUCUCAGCCUAUAAAAUUAAGCUAACAGAGGCAUAUUAAUUUUCUUAUGACGUGUAUGUAAGGUGUGUUUGAUGUGCUGUACUGGAUUGCAUGGCAUUGUUUCUGAGCUAAGAUUGACACUUUCAUUUCAUUACGCCUCAAUUACAAAGGACAGAGACGGGAAAACAGAGAGAUAAAAGAGAGUUGUUCACACGUUGAUAGGCACAUCUGCCUUUCAAAAGAUACACGCAAUGUUCAGUUUUGAUGGUAAGAAGGCCUUGGACUUUUUAUUGCAGCCUAAGAUUCUUUAGAAUCCUGUAAAAGCAAGAAACAAAAAUAUAGUCUUAGAUUUUGACAUAUUAUUAAGCAUGUAAAAUAUUCAUUAUCAGUGCAUAAACUGCUUGAAAAAUGAAAAGCGAUGAUAUGAAGGCUGCCAGAUGUUGACGGAAUUAACGAUAAACCCAGGUAGAAUUACCGUAUUAUCAUCGCUUAUCACACAGUAAAACGGCUACGGUGUACCCUCUGUUUCUGUCAAGCUCUUCUAUUAAAUUUUUCUGUUUAAAUAUCAGCGUUCUCUUGGUUCUACAUGCUUUUAAUUAUUUCAUAGGAGAUCUCAAAAAUGAUAUAUGAUAAGCAAUAGCAUUUUAUAUUUCUAUACCGAAAGUAUUACAUUAUAACUCUCUCUCUCUCUUAACAUGUGUUCCCAGGAUACACGUUUACGUAACCCUUUUUCUAUAUAUCACAGGUCCACAACAGGCAAGGGUCAAAGCUCCAAGCACAGGUGGACCAAAAAUUUAUCAAGUGGGAUUUUUUCUCAUGUGGAAUUUCUUUUAGAUUAAGGAGAGGAUAAGAAGCUGAAAGUAAUUUUGAUUCUUCAGGAUUAUCCAAACCGGCUGGCUUUUUGAACUGACCAUUCUUGGACCGCUUUAAGCUAUGCAAACUUUUUAGAACAAAGUCAUUCAGUUUUCUUUGUUAAUUUAGUCCAUGGACAGUAAAUUUUCAUCUGGGACUUGAUAAAUACAUUACAGUCCAUCCAAAUUUGUUCAAGCUUAGACAAUCCAGUGCGGCUCACUAAACACACCCUCAGUAUCUUGGCUUUGAUACUAAAUAUCUUAAUUAACAUCUUGAUCCAGAAGCUUAAACUUUACCUAACGUUAGUAUUAAAAGUCUAAGUCUAAUACCAUCUAAAAAAAGACCAAACAUGGUGUUGGAAUUAGCUAAAUAUAUUACCUCUCUUCAUUAGCAGCAUUGUAGCUGCUUCCAGGGGACUUGUAGUUGGGGAUCGGAACUCGGCCGGCCUCAAUGCGGUUGAGAUCGUCAACAAGGAUUUCAUAGUGUUUCUUGACUUCCUCCACAGUUUUGCCUCCGCCCACAGCCUUGGCUAUGUUUUGCCAGCGGUCUGGGGUUUCCUUGUCGUACAAGGCUAGAGCCUUCUCAAAGAGCUUGUUUUCCUUUGGUGUCCAAGUAGAACUAAGAGAGCCUGAGGCCAUAAUAACUCGCACUCUUCUAUUCUUUUUAGUGUUUGAAUAUUGCUAAGAAGUGUAAAAGAUAGAGAUGGUGAAAAGAGGAAGAAGAAGAUGUUGGAUUUUGUUCAAAUGAUGGCUUGUGUGUGUGCUGAAGAUUACUAAGGAUUAGCUGCUUAAAUAUAGAGUAAAAGGAGAAGUUGUGGAGCCACAUGGGAAUCUAUUUUCCCAAAAGGUGGCAUAUGGUGUGACCCGUCAUCUUUGGAACCACAGGAUGAAUUAAGCAGGAAAAGGGCAUUUUUUUUCCCAAAAAAAAGAAACUAUUAAACUGAUCUUAAUUAACCACUCGGGCAGUAGCCCGAGUGGCCAGGGCUGCUGCCCUCCAACUUGGAGGGCAGCAGUUCGAACCCCCACAAAAGCAUUGUGGGGGUAUUUUCUUCCUCAAUUAAUUUGAGUGAAGGUAGUCUUCUUUCUUACCCAUGAGUGAGGAGUAGACAUCCCUCGAAUAUUUGUGAGGGUUAAAAUUUGGGCAGAGCUCCAUUAGCAUUGAUGUCAGUUGGUCCCAGUAAUAGUCUGAUUUGUAAAUAUCAGUAAUAGUCUCAUGUAUAUGAGUUGUAAUCUGAGCAAUAAUCUCAUGUAAUCAAAAAAAAAAACUGAUCUUAAUUAGGGUACAAUUGUAAUUUUAUGACUUCUGCUUAAUUUUAAAAGCUCACUCCUGAAAAUAUAGAACGAUGAAUAUCCAUGUCACAGUAUAUAUAGACCAUUUACAUAAUUAUACAUGACAACUAGUAAUUUCAUGUCAUGAUAACUAUGGAUAAAAAUGUGCACCAUCUUCAUACCAAAUGUAUCUUAAUUUAGUGAAAAAUAUAAUUAAAUUAAGAUGUGGCAGCUGAUAAUAGAAUCUUGAACCAUUGCUGGGUUUUUAGAAUUCCGAAACAGACAUGUGGCACUUAUUAUUGUUUGUUGAUUAAAAUUUUAAUGUUUUUAGUUUGCUGAAGGGUUAUUUAUUACAAUGAGUCAUCAAUAUUUGACAAUGUAACUUUUAGUUUUGAAAACAUGAUUUAAGCUGUCGAAAUUGGAGAAUUAUUUAUAACGAUGAGUCCUCAAACAUUCAGCUAUGUCAUUUGUUGUUUCAGAAACAUGAUUUAACCUGUCGAAGAUUGCAGGCGGAGUAGGAGACAAAUAGCAUUUUUUUGUUUAAAUGGUAUUUAUAACGAUGAAUCCUCAAACAUUCAGCUAUGUCAUUUGUUGUUUCAGAAACAUGAUUUAACCUGUCGAAGAUUGCAGGCCGAGUAGGAGACAAAUAGCAUUUUUUGUUUAAAUGGUUCUUGCAUGCAUAUACUUGAGCUGUUAUUUAUAGUCUCGAUAAGAAUUAAAGAAUUUGAAUGUUAAUCACUUAAUUGGGUUCCAUUUUAGGCUGUGCUUGGCUUCAAUUAGAUGGAUUAUUACACAGUUCGCAUAUCUGAACUCACCUUUAAUCGGCCAAUUCUUGUGGACGUGUAAUUGAGAUAAACCUAACCUUGUAAAAGAAAAAGAAAAAAAGAAAGCAAGAAAGAUAUAGCGGUUACCACAUAAGCCAAGAGCGACAACAGAGCAAGAAAGAUAAAGGAAAUGGGAAACUUUAUUGGGGCAAUCGUUUUGCUUGGACUGGCAUGUGUGUCUUCUUAGCUUCAACUCCCCAUUAGGUAGCCUUUUGCACUUAUGAUUUUUGAAAGUUAGUUUUGUACUGAAUUGGACUUAUUGACUGAAAUCUCAAAAGCUCAAAGCAUCACAAGAAUCCUCUCUUACCAUUUUGAUCAAUAAUGCCACUCAGUAAGGUGAUUGGAGCUUUUUCAGAGAAAAGUUUGUUCGCAUGGCAAUCUCUUUAUCCUUAGUAGUGGACGAUCUCGCUAGAAUCAAUGCAUCUCUGUUUCAUUCGAGAAAUAGGCAUAUUUUACUUGUCAGACCAAAAUAAAUAUAGAAGAAAAUCCAAACUAAGAGAAGCUUAAACAUAACACGUAAUUGUUUUGCGUUUAGUUGGUUCAAUGGAUAAAUCUUUUGUAGUGCUACAAUAGAUUGGGGGUUCACACUUAUCCUCUCAUAUUUUUUCAUUUAAUUAUAGUGCGAUGAAAACUUAAUUUCCUUCUUGCCCAUAAAAAUAACGUUCGAAUCCCAGACCUCUUGUAUCGCUCCCAAAAAAUUUGCCAAUUAAACAUAAUAGAAAGCACAUAGAUUCGCAUGUUUUAAAAUGAGGUGCAACAAUGAUGUCUCAAAUCUCAGUUUAAAGCUUGAACUCCUUGCGAAAGAGUGCAAUUUAUAAUACCGUUAAAAUGUAACCCUUAGCUUAGGAUGGCGUAUGUUUUGGACAGCUCAGUCCGAGAGCUGAGCAAACCUACAGUACGCCAAGAAAGGGUAGAGCUAGGCUGUGGUUGUAUUGAUGCAGUUUCUGAUUUGAUUCGUUUCAGAUCUUUGGAAUUGGAGUUUCGGAACCUUGCUCUCAACAAAACUCCAAAAUAUUAUUAGCUGGCUACCUGAAACCGUACCAUGAUAGGCGAAAUCACAUUGGGUGGUUUUUCUUGAAUCUUGGCUGCAUGCAUGUGUAUGUUUGUCUUUUAUUAUCUAUUCAGUCAACAGGUAUUGCUGCUUCUUUGGUUGGACAAGAGGAUUCCUCUGUCGCUUGAUUGGUGAUAGUGAGUGGAUAGGAUUAAAACCCAGCUUGGCUCCUAAUUUCUUUCAAAUAAGAAUAAAAUUGCACUCUCUCACAAAUGGUCUCUAGGAAUUUUGAGAAUCCAUGUUGGUUAGCAAAUGGGUUACUAAACUUAAGCUCGGUUUAUUUUAAUCUUUUUGGGUAGCGUAGUUACCAGGAUGUUUGGUUAAUACUAGUAAGUUGCUUUUGGGAGAAAUUUACACAAAUAACCACAAAUUUUUUUGUUUUUUGUUUUUUUUUAUUUUAACCCCCACAAACUUAUUUCUAUCAACAUUAGCCAAAAGUAAAAUUUUCAGACCAAAAUGCCCCUCUCACAUCUCUUCCCCAAGCCAAUCUCUUUCACGUAACCUCUCCUAGAGCCAAAAUCACCCAUCGUUAGCGGCGGCUCCACGCAUCAUCGGUGCCCGAUCUACUUUCAACGGCAAAGAAAAUCUAUUAUUCAACUUCAACAAAACAUAGGUUAGCCAUUUUAUUUAUAUUUCAUUAAUUAAAAAUGCAAUUUGAAAAUAAUAGUGGUAAUAGUUUGAGAAUAAUGGUGGUGGUGGUGGUGCUUGGAGUGGUGGUUGUUGUUUUGAGAGUGUGUUGUUUUGUGAUGGGCGCGAUUUGUAUGAUUUGUGCGUGACAAGGGCGUGUCGCUCGCGCCUGUCGUGCGCGCUUACUACCCAGCCACAGGCACGCGCGCGAGCGAUAGGUGGUCUCGCGUUCGCAUGACAGGUGCACGCCUGUCGCAUGUCGCGUGCGCGACAAGUGCGACAAGCUGCCUGUCGUACCAAAUUACAGUUUAUUUUUAUUUUUUAACGUGAAGUUAAUUUCCCUAUUAUUUUGUUAUAAAUGCAAUCUAAAAAUGUUAAAAAUAUUACAGAAAUGGCGAAAUCAGAAGUAUCAAGAAACAAACUGGGCAUGAUGAAGUUAGCUUAUGCCGAUCACUUCCCGGGGCGAAUUUCAAGUAUGUGUAACUUUUCUACAGUCAUAAAAGCCAUCGAGCGAAAAUUAACAAAACGACAGUUGCGUUUGUUCAAGGACGACAUAUUUGGGCAUUUCUUGGAGUGCCGAAACUCUCCAUUCAGUGCUAUAAUUUUGCACAAUAUUUUGCUUAGGCAAGUGACCCAUGGAGAAUACAGGAAGGAGGAUCAAUUAUGGUUUCAAAUUGGUGAGCAUUUGAUACGCUUGUCAAUUAGAGAAUGGUGCCUGAUUAUUGAACUUUCCUAUGGUGUAGAUACCGCACUAACAAAUAACAAGACGGUGCAUAGAUUACUGAAUACGUAUUUUGAUGGCUUGCUUCGCAACAUCAAUCUUAAGCAAUUCGAUCAUUAUUUGAGAGUUGGACUUCAAGACUAUUGACGACAUUGACGCAUUAAAGAUCACACUCUUUUAUUUUAUGGACAAAGUUCUAAAUGGAAGAAAAGGCCACUGUCAAAUCAAUUUCUCAUGGUUUAACGAAGUAGAUAAUAUAGAGUACUUUCGAAAUCAUCCAUGGGGUCGUUUGUCGUGGGAAACAAUAUACAAGAGUCUUGACAAUGCACUGUACGAGAAAGAUGAGAAAUUUAGGACGACUCGGUUAGAAAGGCCAAAUCAUAAAAUUGAAAAGUACAAUGUUUACGGCUUUAUGUCCGGGUUACCGUGCGUUGUUUUUUUGUUUAUUAAUAAGUUUUGUAACAUUAAAUAUUUGAUAAUUGUUUUAAUAGUUUUCUCACUUUGGCUGUUGCAGGCUUGGAUUUACGAAACGAUCAGAGGUUUACCGUCAGCAUGGGUCGUGAAAACGAAGAAGAAUAUUCCCCGCAUCGUGCAAUGGAAGCCCAUGGCUUCUUCGCAAAUCAACUUUGCUGAAGUUUAUUCGUUCUUCAAUGACGAAUCUCAUCUUGUAAGUAAUAUGUAUUGGUUCUUUUUUUGACAUUACUAAAUUUGAGUUUUGUAUACUUACUUAUAAUUUUGGGUUGAAUUUAUGGCAGGGGGACGUUUUACAAACCCUUGAGCCAUAUGCAAAAGAGAGUCGCAAAAAAUAUUGGCUCACUGUGAAGGAUUACAUGCCACGUAUUCUAGGCUGGGUUCAUAAAGUCGGUAUCCUAUAAGUACUAUUAUUUAUUAAUUGAAAUUUUUGACUUUUCAUAUACUUAUUUUAAAUGCUACUUUCUACAGCACCAACCUUCAAUCAACGCGCCGCUGCCCGUUAUAAGGCAAUCAGACGAGCAUGACGACAUACCGAGCUGAACACCAGAACAAAGUCAUGAGACUUUUGAGGAUGAGGUGCCUGUAGAUGACCAUCAGGAGCAGACAUACAAGUCUGAUGACGCACAAGAUUCCGAGGUUAUAAAAAAAUUAUUUUCUUCAUAUAUAAAUCAUUAUUUUUUACUGUUAUUAUAAAUAAUUUUUUUUUGUAAUAGUCGAAGACAAAGUAGUUUAAUGAUUAUAUGAGAUGACAGAUGGACAAUAUUCAUCGUAACAUUUAUAAACUUAAGUAAGAAUUUAAAGAUUUUAAAGAAACCGUGGUGGGAUUUAUCGAUUCACUGUCUAAACGUCCAAACAAGGAUUCUCCGACUGGACGCUCGUAUGCUGUGAGUAAAUUUAAAUUUAACAAUUGUGUUCGUUUAACUUUUAAUUUGAUAGUUGUUUAAUAUGUUCAUCUUGCCGAAUGGACAUGUCCCAAAUGACUAUGUAGUUUAUAGUGUAUACUGAUGUGGGCAAUUAAAACUUUUUUACUCCCACGUCAUUGUAUAGUUUCUAUGGAAAUGUUAGUAGGGAGAGCAUACAGGUCUUCACGGAGGCGCCUCCAGGCAUUAGUAAGUUCAGCCAAGCGUACAGACCGUCAUAUGCUUUUAAUAGUCCUUACAUGAUUCCUCCAUUCAGGCGAGGAAAGAACGUUCGGCGUUUACUUCCACCGCAAAUCAUGGACCAUGCGAUUGACGUGAGUACGAGUGUGGAUAUAAAUCCACUUAAAGGAUUGGAUGAUUUUAGUCUGUAUGCUGAGUUUGAUCGAUGGUUCGCUGGCAAUAUAAUAGUGGAUCAGAGAGUCCAACACCCGCAGUCGUUCUUUCAAGUAAUUUUGGGCCAUGCUUCAAUGGGAUGGCUAGGUGAUGAGGUAAUUUUUUUUUUAAUUUCUUUAAGUGUUGUGGAUUUGUGUAUUAUUUUUUCCUUUUAAAUCGACAUGUUUUUGUUCCUCUACAACAUAUUCACGAGUAUUAUUGCCAGAUUAACGAAAAGUAAUACCAGUAUCCGAAUGCCUUAGUUUAGUGUGUCACACAUACAAACAUAUUUUUUUGUGGUAACGUGCAGACAUAACUUAUAAUUACCCUUUUUAUUUAUUUAUUAUCUUCUAACGCCUUGAAAUUUUGUUAAUUUAUACAUUGUUUUGAUUAUUUAUGAAGUUUUGUUAAUUUAUACAUUUUUUGGGAUAUCUAUGUACUCUUUAUCCUUGAAUCAGUUAUGUAACAACGGAGAUUGUGCGGUUGAUUCAUUAGUAUAUAGCGACAGCUUGAAUAACUAUAUUGGUGGGCGGCAACACAUCAUGUCCAAACCAAUGACGGAUGUCGAUAUGGUGUGUAUUUUAUUUUAUUUUAUUUUACAAACACAAUCAAAUGUGUCUUUUUGAUGUAUGUUUUCCAAUUUCAUAUGAUACAUGAUAUAUUUACGAGAAUUUUUUAUAUACAGGUAUUUAUCCUUGUUAACUUAGACCGCGAGCAUUCGAUAUUUGCCCGAGUUGACUUUCGUAAGAACAAAGUUUGGAUUUAUGACUCAUUGUUGAUGUUUCGAGAUGAUAAAAAAUACAAGUUCAAGUUCAGGCCGUUUGAAGUUAUAUUCCCUCGAUGGUUGGAAUAUUUGGAUUCUACAACAUCCGACCUGAAUUGCGGAGUGCCAACCCAUGGAAAGUUGUUGCAGUUAAGGGUGUGCCAAAACAAGAGCCCAGUACUGGCGAUUGCGGUGUUUUUUUGUUGAUGUUCACGAUGUAUUUAAUGUUCGGGCUUAAAUUAGAAUUUAACGGUAGUCAUGAAGAGUACUUUAGAAAGAAGAUUGCAGUUGACAUAUUUAAUGACGAUAUUGUAUUGUAAACCGUUGUCAAAUUCAAAUGUUGAAACAUGAAUUUAUUUUCUAAUUUGCAUACUUAAGUUUAUAUAAUUUUCAUGCUCACAUUUUAAUAUAAAAUAAAAAACUUAGGAAUAAAAUUUCAUUAUAUAUAAGUGUACAAUACACAAAAAAAGUAACAAUUGUUUUAAUAUAAUCACUUGGAACAAUACAACUAACUUCGACUCGAUGCAAUGAGAUUCUUACAUCGCUUACCGUUAUGUCCCGGUUCAUUACACCGGCCGCAUCUAACAGUCCUCCAGUUGACGUCCUUGCCAGUCGAGGGUAUUCUGAACUCUUUACGACGACCAGGUGGUGGUGCCUCAACAAGUGGAUAAAUGUGCAUCUCUUGAAUUUCAUUUGGAACUUCCCAAUCAGCCACGUCGCCAACCGGCUCCAUUGGUUGUGCAUAAACCAUCACCAACGAUUCCUUGGUGUAAUAGUCUGAACAAAGGUUUAUGUAAUCUACUCGGAUAGUCAGACAAGCCGCAAUUGCAUGAGUACAGAUAAGCUGAUCAAGCUAAAAUACUCUACAGGAGCAAGUUCUAUUUUGUAUGUCAACUAAGCCUUCCUUAAUUCCACCACCUACAACUUGAAAUUGAUGCGGAGACAUGGGCAAACGAUCAUUCUUUCAACUAUAGUUCUCUUCUCAGUGACUAUUUCAUCCACCCAUAUUAUUAGCCGAGUACUCAUUGAUUCAGCCACAAUUUUUCUAUCAUAAAAUUAUUGCUGUAAUUUUUUUCUAAAGUGAUCAACAAGAUGAGCAACAAGAAAUUUUUGCGGUUCCCUCAUGAAAGAAUUAACACUCUUCGCGAUGUUGGUGGUAAGUAUAUUGUACCUCCUAUCUUCAAACUAAGACCUUGCCUAAUUACACGUACCCACAAUAUUCUCUAAGUAAUUAGCCGCGCCCGAGUGGAGUAUCCACAACCCUUCAAGUUGCUUUUUAAAUUCUUCGUGUCCGUAUGUAUUUGCUGCAUUAAUAAAGGUAGGCUCAAAUAUAUCCGAAAGAGCUUUGGACAUCCUGAACUUUGACUUAAUAUUACCUUUCACAUGGUAAAAUCAAACGCUAUAAGUUGCAUUGUGAAAUACUUUGAUAACGACUCUCCUUAUGGCAGUGCAUCGAUCAGAGAUAAUUACCAACUCCGGCCUAUCGCCAAUCACUCCGUGUAACUUCAUCAUAAAUCAUUCACAAGCAUAAUUGUUUUCUGAAUCCAUGACCCCAAUUGUCGAUUGUUACCAUCCAGACAUGUUGUCACGAACAUGCUUCCACGAUAUAACCCAUUUAGAUGAGUAUCAUCCACAGCAAUGACAUGUCGAAUGUACUGCAUAAAACCCUUGAUGGAAGAACCAAGUGCUAGAAAGUAGUAUAAGAAAUUACCAUUUCCAUCCCGCUCGAGGUGAGUGAUUGUACCCUCAUUCGCUUUAGUCAAUACGUGAGAGUAUUUAGGAAGCAAAUUGUAUGACUCCGUAGGAUUCCUUCGAACUAUUUCAAGACCAACUUCUCUAGCCCGAUAUGCCUACUGGUAUGUUAACUGCACACUGUAUUUCUGCAACAUAUCUGCUUUGAUGUCAUUCGGAGUGUAUAUUUUUUUUUCUUGAAUAUAUUUAUUUGCGAUAAUAUGACCGACAACUCGGCUCCAUACUUGAUGACAACCAUCAACCAAUACCUCAUUAUGACAAUUGUGUAUAUUGCCAAUUCUCCUCACCACCCAAGGACCACCAUUAUGCUCGAUCGAACUUCUAAUAGAUCAAAUACGUCAUUUACAUGAUUUUGAACAACAGUGAGCCUCAAAACAUGUCGUUGUAGACCGUGCAAUCUUGAAAUCAAACUUAUCUCUAAAGGCAACCUUACGCAGUUGUAAUAUUAGCUCAUUCUUCUCAGCGAAUAGCUUACCCACACUGAUAUCAUCUGAGUUAGAACUGCUAAGAAAACUUGGAGCAACCAUGUUCGAAGGCAAAAUUGGAGCAAGACUUGUGAGGAAGUCAAUCUUCCUUCUCGAAUCGGCCAUUGGAGGAAUAGAGCGAUUGUCUCUGUUAUUCACAGGAAUAUCGUCUUCACACUCACCAUCAUGCUGCCAUAACAAAAUAUUGGAAGGACCAACACCUUCAUCAUCAUAUGCAUUAUUGAAAUUAGUGGCCCUCAUAUUAUUAGAAGGUUUUGCACAAACAUUAUCCACCUCCGUGUUGUCAAUGUCAUCAAUAGGAUCAUCAUUAUCGCGGAAAUUAUCGUUAUGAUACAAAGAAUAACCGUUGCUCCAACGACGUCGUUAGUGGUAAUACAUCUUCUCCAACAUCCACCAACGUAAUGUCGUUUUCAUCAAUGUUGUUAUUACUGUCGUGGAGUGGAGAGUAAUAUUGUUGCAAUGACGUCAUCCUUGGCAGCACCUCCUCUUCAAUAUCGGGGCCAAACAUAUUUGCUCUAAAGGAAGCUUUUGUUUCAACGGGUGGCUCAAGAUCUUCGCUCAGAACUCGAGGAGAUGUGGUAACGAAUAUAGGAAUGCAUCCAUAGUUGGCCACAUCAGAUGCCAUAUGCAAUACAACCCUCACCAUUUCAUCAUUAAAUAUGUCCAUGGGCAGUGCACACGUCCGAUAGAAUAUGUUACUAGACCUUAAAGUUAUUUUCAUUGUGAUAUUAUAUUUAUUAGGAUUUAUUUGUAAGACUUCAUAUACUCUUGCCAAAAAUUGUUCAAACAGACAAUUUUUUCCAACCAAAAAAGCUAUAUUUUUACCAUUCAUAUACUCAAUACGGCUAUCCCCUAAUGUCUCCCACCAACCAUCAUAACAUAAUUAAAGCACAAUUGAAUCCAUUAAGCCUGAAAUUAUUAAAAAAAAUUAAUUAUGCACUAUGAAACUAAUAAAGAGAUUAAAUUUUUAUAUAUAACAUAAAAAAAUAAUUGUAUGUUGGUGCGACAGGUUGUUUGUCGCACUGUCGCACCAAGAGUGGGUUAUAAUGAAUUUGUCCCUUGGUGCGACAAACUGCCUGUCACACGAUUUUGGCGUGACACACACGACUGUCGCACAAAGAGGCAGAUUCGGGUAAAUCUGCAUCUUGGUGCGAUAGUCUACCUGUCGCACCAAAAUUGUGCGACAUGUGUCUGUCGCACCUGUUUGCAAUCGCACUGAAUCAAAUUCGCAAGUUGAGAAAAUACCUCUUAUCGCUCGUUGAUAUAAAUUGGUGUUGGAUCCGGAUGGAUUAUGCUGUAUUUGAUCGGAGUUCAUUUUUACCGUUUGCCGUUGCCGUUUGCCGUUGCCGUCGCCGUUUGCCGUCGCCGGUGAUGAUUCAAGAGUGCAAGGUUACGUUUCGUUUGAUCAAGGGAGAGAAAAAAAGUUACUUUUAGUUUGUAAAUAAGGGUAAUUUGGGGUAAAAAUCUUGUGUUUGGCUAAUGUUGAUAAAAAAAUUUAGAAGGCUAAUUGUGAAAAUUGUAAAAAAUUUUAAGUUAUUUUUAUAAAUUUCCCUGUCUUUUGUAGUACAGUUAUAAAAUAAUAUCACUUAAUUAAAAGUAAAAAAAAAAUAGUGAAAGAAAUAGUUACACCUUUGUAAUAGUUGUAGAAGUUAUAACAACGAACAUAAUACAAUCGAAUAUGAUAUGAUGUGACGCAACAUAAUAUAAAAAAAUAAUGAGCUAAUUAAUGGAUAAUGUUGAGUUGACCUCUUAAAAAUAAGACACGAUAAGAAUUGGUUCGAAGCUCGAAUGACCCUUAAUUUUUUUCAAUCAAAGCAGCAUAUACAGCACAACCUUCAUCUAUAUAAAAGAAAAUUUCUACACUUUAAAAAAGGAAAAUUACUAAGAGUGCUAGUAUGUAAAGAGGAGGUCUAUGAAGUUAUAAUAAAAGAAAAUUUCAUCCGCAGGAUUCCUGAACCAGCUUAAUAAGUGAUUAUGUUGCUCAAUACAAUAUUUUAUUCAUGUCAGUUAAUAUCGCACAAGGGAUCCUGUUAAAAACAAUUAAUUGAUCUUAUGAAGAUUCGGCACAUAUGCAACGAACCUAGGGCCAAAUUCCAAGUAGAUAAUAACAUUAUCUAUGGUCCUGAAUCUUAAUUCAGUAAAGCCUUAGCAUUUUGGAAACAAUGCCCAUGAGAUAUAUAUAUAUAUGUUCGUCCGGAAACUGAAAUUAGAAAUUCCUUUGUCUUUUAAUUAUUAUGAGGUGGCACUAUUUUCUCUAAAGAGUUCUUCCUUCACCUUAAAGAAGCUCGUACGUUUCAUAGGGUUAAUUAAGAAGAGUUGAAUACAAAAAAUCAAAAGGAAAAGAUAAAAAAAUGAAUUACUAAUUGGAAAGAAGAUAGGUUUGGUGCAACAAUGUGAUCCCAAAGCUGAUACUAUUAUCAUGAUAUCUUUCUUCAGUGAUAAGAGAACAAGUAAUACAAUUGGUCUUGGAUCGAAUCUCACUCACAUCAGAAUUCGUGUGGAGUUUGGUUUGUAUUUAAGAAUUUUUCCUUUUGCAUUUUUCUUUUUAAAAAGAAUGAUGUUGUGUCAUCUUCUUUAGGACGCCAUAUAUAGCACAAAAAUGAACUGGGCCAAGCCUAUGAUAUGAAACUGAAAGAGAUUGCAGAGUGUGAAGUGAACCCCAAAACUUCUUCUAUAUCACUCUCAAUCAGUUGUGCUUUUAAGAUGAACAUUACCCACAAGAGACCACGCAAUAGCAGUUUUUGGUGAAUCUGUGAUUUCAGCAAUUUAAACAAGUGUAGGUGCUCUCAUUUUUUUUUUUAAUAAGGACAUAUUGUUAAGCCGUAGAGGUUAAUAGAGUUAUUUUUAAAUGCGUUAUAAAGCCGUGUGAUUUAAUAGUAUUAAAUUUGACUCUAUUAAACCACAUAACUUAAAAGCACAGGAAAAAAAUGAGGUUACCUACAUUAGAGAAGAACUAUAUAUAUAUAUAUAUAUAUAUAUGGGAAAUUAUCAUUGUACCACCUUUAUUUUGCCUUAUGUUCAUUCAACAACUACAAACUUUUAACAUGUACUUUGCACCACUUUUUUUUUUCACAUUUGUAUCAACUAUCCACUUUUGCAUUAACACUAUUAAAUAAUGUUAAUAAAAUAACAAUUUUACCCCAAAUAAAUUAAAAGACCAUUUUAUUUUAUAAAAACUUUAAAAAAUAAAAAAUUAUAAUGAUAAAAAUAUCCCUAAAUUUAAUAAAAAUCUCCUAAAUUAUUAAAAUUUUAGGAUUUAUUCUUUUAAGAAAUAAAUUAAGUUAUUUUAAUAAAAUUUUACAAAAUUAUAAAUUUUUAAUAAAUAAAUUCAUUUAUUUAUAUUAAAAUUUUAUAAAUUAUAAUUUUUAAUAAAAAUAAUUAUUAAAAUUUUGUAAAAUCUAAAUUUAGUAAAAAUCAGUUGAUCACCUCUAUUUGGGAUUUAUUUUUUAUUAAAUUUAUGGAUAUUUUAUGAUUAUAAUUUUUAAUUUUAAAAGUUUUUAUAACAUAAAAUAGUCUUUUAAUUUAUUUGGGGUAAAAUUGUCAUUUUCUUAAAAUUAUUUAAUAGUGUUAAUGCAAAAGUGGCUAGUUGAUACAAAUGUGAAAAAAAAAGUGGUGCAAAGCACGUGUUAAAAUUUUGUAGUGGUUGGAUGAACAUAAAGCAAAAUAAAGGUGGUGCAAUGAUAAUUUCCAUAUAUAUAUAUAUAUAUAUAUAUAUAUAUAUAUAUAAAGUAGUUUUCUGAGCCGGGAUCAUAAAGUACGGGAAACGUUCGAGAAAACUUUAAAAUCGCGGGGUUUUAAAUGUUUAAAACUUAAAGCGCUUAAACCGCAUGAUUUAUGCGUUUUCUCGAACGUUCCCGCACUUUAAAAUUCUGAAUUGGAACAUUUCUAUAUAUAUAUAUAUAGUGCAGGAUCUUAAAUUUGUUAAAGUUUGAAAAAGUUAUAAACCAUACAAUUUAAUAAGUGUUAUAACCGUAAAAGCUAUUAAAUGACAUAUUUAAUAACUUUCUCGGACUUUAAUAAAUUUUAGGAUGUUGGACCAAUUAUAUAUAUAUAUCUAUAUAUUUGUAAUCUUCCUCCUUUCAACAAAAGCAGACUGGGUGGGGCUAAUGAUCUUGGGAAACAAGCCUUUGAUCCUAUUAGCAAUCUACUUGGUAAAUACACUUAUAGAUUGUAUUGAAGCAGGAAAUAGGCUGAAAAUCUCCCAUGACUGUAGGAUUAGGCACUUUCGGCACCAAAACAAUGAUAGUGGAGUCUCUUAGACGUGAAGCAAAGAAAGACUUUUUAGUUUUUAUGGCUUCUAUUACAUCCUGAAUCACAAUCUCCCAAGCACUUUUGAAGAAGUGGGCAGAAUACCCAUCGGGGCCCGGGGCCUUGUUACUGUUAAGGGAGAACAUAUUUCUUUUAAUAUAUAUAUAUGAACUUCAAAAAACUAGUAACAUUAUAUUAAAGUGACCUCCGGCAAAAUUGGCAAUAUUAAACUUGUUGAUAAGAAGCUUAAACAAAGUGGUCCUAUAAAAUUGAUAUUAAGAAUCAUCAAUCCCUAAGUUCUAACAAUAAGCUUGGAAAAGGUAUGUAUAUUCCUGGCGUUACAGGAUUAUGCCAUUUCCCUUUGAGACCUUUUUUGCCUACGGUGUUCAAGUUCCUGGGGCCCUUUCUAACAAGUUGGAAGCUAGCUAAUAUCAUUAUGGCUUUGAAUAAUAACAUGGACCAGAAUUCCUUCUUCUUCUUUUUUUUUGGUUUAAUAUAGCUUUCGUUACGGAAAAUUUAAUUUCAUGAUUUGAUAGAAAACUCAGAAGAUGAUACUAGCAGUUCGAUCAUAUGAUUAACUAUUUUAUGUAACUAUAUAGACCUAUUAAAUAAUUUUUUAAUAAAUGCAAGUAUGAUUGGGAGGAUAUUUUUAGGUUGUACCAUUGAUGACAUUGUAUCUCUCAUAUAUUUAAAAAAGAAAAGCGGAAAAUCUCAUUGAUUAAUGAUUCUUAGAUAAAAAUAUAAAUAAAAGAAAAUAAAUGUCAUGCUAUAGAAUCUCAUUAAUACACACGUGGCAUUCUAAUCCGAAUUAUACGUAUGUGUAGAAAUUAAAUUGACCCUUUUCAAGAAUCAAGUCCCAAAGUAUGAUGGCUUUAAAAAGAAGCAUUGAGACUUUGUUCUUUUCCAUUUUUAGGUCAUGAAAGUGAAGAAGCUGCGACUUUUCAAAUGCUUAAGAACUAAGAAAUCACUACCGCCUUCUGCUGGUCCAUGGCCAAUUGCUUCUAUAAAAGCAGAUCAUAAUCAUCAUAGAGAGGGGAAUCAAUGAUUCAGAUGAAAAAGAAGAAGAUAUUAAUUGUGAAAUUGAUCUACAUAGUGCUUUUCAAAUCUUUCAGCAAUAACACUACAUAUGUAUAAUUGAGGAUAAGCAGAUAAAAGUACAAAUCUUGAUUACCAAUCAAAUGGAAUGAAGCUUUCAAAGCAUCGUUGCAUGAUAGAUAUAUUCAUAUAUUCGUCAAUUGUGCAAGUUGACAUAAGUUUUGCUGAAUUAUGAGUGGAGGAAAAAAAAAAGAAAAGUAAAAGGAAAAAAGCAUAUUUUCAUUAUUCAUAAUGAAUGGAUGAUGAAGAUUCUUCAUUAAGAUUUGAACAUACGAAAAUAUUUUCAAGGGUGACUUGGAUUUAUUUGUGAAUGCAGGUGUAAUGAAUAUCAGUCCUUUUCUAUUUUAAAUCAUGUAUAAAAUUAGAAAUAAUUGAGCCGGGUGUUUGCUUCAUUAAGAUUUAUUUCUAAUGGAUGAUGAAGAUGCUUCAUUAAGAUUUGAACAUAAGAAAAUAUUUUCAAGGGUGAUUUGGAUUUAUUUGUGAAUGCAGGUGUAAUGAAUAUAAGUUCUUUUUCUAUUUUAAAUCAUGUAUAAAAUUAGAAAUAAUUGAGCCGGGUGUUUGCAGAGGAGAAUAGAAUGGACCUGCCUCUGACGCAAUUGUUUACUAUGUGGGCUUUAUGUAGAUCUUGCCACUCGCACAGCUCAAUUAAGUUGGGCCACUCCCGAUCUCCAAAGAGAAGCUCCUUCAUUACCCAAUCACAAGAUUCAAGCACACACUACCGAUAUGUAAAAAGAAUUCUAGCUACACAUAAUCAUAGUCUACAAUAUUUACAGCGUUUUUAGUUGUAACUUCUACACACCUGGGGAAUAUAUAUGUUUUCAUUAAUCUUUAGCGAGGUAAAUUUAUAUGUUUUAUUAAGUAUCCCAACAUCUAAGUAUUAAUUUAAGUUCUAACUAAUGUGACAUUCAUUAAUUGAAUGAUGGUUAAAUAAUUUUAUAAAUUAUGAAAUCCAUAAUCCAAAAGAUGAUUCACACAUAGAAUUAGACUCAAAUAUUGAAAUCCCUAAUAUUAUUAAUUUUAUUAAGGCCCGUUAGGAAGUGCCACCAAGGCACCAGGCAGCUUGGCAGCUGUAGUGCAGUAUUCCCAAACACAAGUUACAGCUGCCACAGGCCCAUAGAAGCAUGAAUUUCUUGUUUUUGCAGCAGCGCAACACUCCCGAACAGCCCCUAAAUCUGUAGUGGGUCCUCAAUAAUUUAUGAAGAGUGCAAUUCAAUAGACUACUUGCUAAUGCUGAGUGAGUGAAUACUAUAUUUUCUACGCUUAAAAAUACGUUAAAAGAAAAAGGGACGAGAAAACAAAAAAAAUAGACGAGGUUACCAUUUGAGUUAGAUUUGGGAUCCAAUUGAUUUCACGUAGCUCAAGAAAAGAAAAGGAAAAUAUAGCCAAUGACAAUCCCAUCAAAUAUAUGUCAAAAAUAAACUCUUAAAUGCAAUCAUUGAUAUUUUGUGUAAGAUAUUUCUUCAAGGAAUCCACUUUCAAUCUUUACUUCUUUCCACCUGUCCUUGUGGAAUCAUAAUGCAACCAAAGACCAUUUCUAAAGUGUGUACCUCUUCUUCAUCUACACGAGUGCUACAAAAGAUAAAGCCAACAAUAUAUCUUUCUUCGCUAAAAACUUAUCAUCUAUCAUAUUAUACUAUAAUGAUAAAAAUACUAACUCAAUACAGCUGGCUCCUUCAUAAUCUUAUUGACUUUGUUUACACCCAACCAGGCAGGCACCAUCAUAAUCCUCAAAGACUCAUUUCCCCACCAUAGCAUUAAAAGCUUUUAGCCUUGAGGAACCCACAAUAUUUUAUUAGCUUUCCCAAUCUAUGCACAGCCCCAUUGUACUAUCAAAACCAAGAAAUCAAUACUGAACAUUUUUUUUUUCAGUCUUAGAGGAAUCAUUUUACAAUCAAUGAGCAUGGAUUGAUGAUGGAACGAAUGAAAUUUUUUUACAAUUGCGUCGGUUUUUUUUUUUUAAAAAAACUUAAAUUAGCUCUACUAUGUUGUAGUUUGGACAUAUAAGUUCAGAAUGAUCAGAUCUAUUUUUAAAAUGGAAAAUCUACAUUGAUAAUAAAUGUUAGACAACUCGAACUUUGAUAUAAAAAAUAGAGUGAGAAAAUACCCCGCUUGACUGAGAAAAGUGGUUUGUAGAAUUGCAUUGUUUUUGUAACUCAAAAAGAAAAUUUUGAUGGUUCAUUGAACACUGCUCAACUUGUCGAAACUCUACACCUAUGGGGCAAAGAAUGGUAUUUGGUGGGUGGGAUUUCUCAUUUUUAUUUAAACCUUUUUUAGGAAAAUAAAUCAAUUAAAUUCGAUUACCAUAAUUAAACAUGCUAUAGAUCUAAUAAUCCUACUUUCUGUGUUACAAAUAAUUGGGAUCCCACAAACUGUAUUUGUAUUGAUAUCCUAACAAAGCUAGCUACUUGUGGGAAUCGCUAUUUGCUACCAAAGGGCACAUAAUUAUGAGUUUUAGCCAUAUUGUCUAAGUUGUCAUAACAACUCUACCUAAAUAAAUCUGUACAGCAUUGUGAAUUCAUUGUUUAUAAUUUCAUAUUUGCAACUCAUUUAAUUAAUAAUAACAGUACUAUGAACAUAACGUGAUAAGACUAGUUAAUAAUCAAUGGGUCAAAUAAAUACAGUAUAUGAAAUCUAUCUUUUAAUGUAAAUUGAUUUUCAACAACCGUACCAAUAUAUAAUUAGAUCAAUACAUAGACCAUUAUUACUACUCCUGGACUAGCAAUUAAAGGAUUUCAUAUCUGUGGAAGUGGGGUAGAGGUGAGCUAUAUGUAUUUGUGAUUGUAGUUGUACAGGUUAAAAUUUCUGACGCUUCAUAAUUUAGGACAUAUGUACCAAUGCUACUGAGAGAAUGGCCUUUAACAUUAAUGCAUUCAAAUUGAAGGCAGAGGGCAGCAUAUGUUGUAAGUCUUAUCUAGUGGACAUGCUUAGUUGUUGCUGAUACAUGUUGCGAUUUGCUGCUGCCAUAGGACAGCUUCACAAGUUUGUUGCCUAAAUGUUUUCUCUUCUUCAUGUGGUUCAGUAAGUUAUGUUAAUAUUUUCGGCUUAUACAUAAUUACCAAAUUAAGAGAUGAAUAUGUAAUUUUCGCCAACAUAUAAUAUGCAAAUUGUAUUUGUUGGCGCUUAGUGAUCAUUGGUAGGUAUAGCGGUUUGGAAGGCGACAUAAUCAAGUUAAAAGAAUGAGUUGGUGCAAGUAAGAUAAGCAAAUAUUUGAGAGAUUUGGUGGUCUGAACAUGCCUAAAAAGAAAAGGAAAAUAAAAAGAAAGAGGAAACAAACCCAUAUGGCCUUGUGAGAAUUGCAAAGAUCCUCCAAACAAACCCAAAGGCCUAGUGGUCUCCUCAUCUUCAAUCACUUAUCUCCUCAUACUAAAAUAUUCCGAUGUUGCCUCAAUGGUCUCACUACAAAAAUCCUCUUCAUAAAUUUUAUGUCUUUUUUCUCAAUGCUUAACUAAAGACCUCAUGUGAUUAUGUCUCUCUUAUAUUGCCUAAUACACAUAUACAUAUAUUAAAAGAUAAUCCUAAGUUUAUAUUAUUUAUCAAAAAAUUGGGUUACCUUCUUUUUCUGUCUUUGAUUCUGGAAGCACCCUUUAAGUUAAUUGGUUGAAGCUGGCAUAUCUCAAAGCAUUUCUACUUUUAUUAGGACAACUUUUUUUAAAAAAAAUUAAGUAUAUAUUCACAGAUAUAUGAAUCUACAAUCACUCUGCAACUCCACCCGAAAAUAAAAAGUUAAGUGAAUGUGAAUGGGAAUUAUUGGAGAACUAAAGAAAGCCAAUUGAUUUUUAUGUUUAUGAAGCCAAUCCCUUUUAAAGCUCCUAUAUAUAUCUAUAUAUAUAUAUAUGCGCUAAGCUAGCUGGGAAGAUUGAUUCCCAUUCCCUAGCUGGGUGGAAUGUUUAGCUUCAGAUUUUAUAUGAAUGCGUCUCAGAUGAAGAUUUUAUGCCAUAUUAAUUACUUUAUCUUGACACCCAUAACUCCAUCUUAUUCUUGUUCUCUCAACGAAUCAAUAAAGUUAAUUAUCCUGAGAUCAAUCCAUUUACCUUAUAAUUAACUACCAUAUGUUACAACGAUCGUGUAUGGAAAACUUGAGGUGUACAAUAACAACUUGAGAUGCUUAUAACAUAAUAUAUAAUGGUUGUAAUAUUUUUCUAAAUAAGCUAAAGGGAGUAAUUGUAAGACAUGAUAUGGAGAAGUUGGGUCUAAGAUAUGGAAAUUGUCUUUACUACUGUCUUUCGAUAUUGCAGCUGGCAAAUGGCAUAUAUUGUCUUUGACCAGUCCAUUCAUCACAUCGAAUUCUUGACUCAUUCUGUAUCCAUGCAUGUAUCCAUGCAUGUGUAUUAUAUUUUCUGAAAAAAAGUAAUGACGCUUCUUUUGCAAAUGUGUCUCUUCUCUUCUUAUCCUUAUACUAUUCAUUUUUCAUUCCUUUGGCUAACUGUGCAAUUUUUUUUUUUUUUUUGGGAAGCUAUAGCUUUCCCCUUUUUCUUUACUUUAUUUUGUAUCUUUUUGAUAUAUUUUCCUUUUCUUAGGUAAGUCAACUUUUAUAUUCAAAUUUCAUCAAAUUCUACUACUUUUAAUUUGUCCCUUCAUUAAAAUAAAAUUUAAAAAAAUCCUCUACUUCUUAGUUUGUACAAUCUUAUGAUAGAAUUAUAAUUUAAACUAUUUCUUUUUUUUAAUGUUUAAUGAUGAAAAAAUCUUCAAUCCACAUUUUUGAUAAAAUUAGGACACAUUAUUGUAUUAGUAAAUCACUUUUUAAUAACACACAAUAAUGGCGGUAUAAAAAAUAUGGGAAGACCUACCUUAAUUUAUCAUAAUAUAAAUGAGCCUAGAAACCCAACUUAAGAUCAACUCCUAAAGAAUGAGAAAAUUUUACUCUCGUAGCAUUUGGAAAAAUUUGAAUUCUUAAUCUCAAUAAUGUGGGGAUGAGGUACCCACCACUCGACUAAAGAGUGGUUUAUUAUUUAAAUACAUUCGUGUAUAACUUAUUCUAUAUUGAUAUUUUUAAUAUUAAAAACACACUCUGGGAUUAGUAUAAUAAUUAAUUGGAUAAUUUGCCACUUCAUUGAUUCAUUUAAUUACAUAAUUAAAUGUGAGAUCACUAAAGUUUGUAGAAGUUUAAAUCGCUUUUGUUUUCAUACCUUAUAAGGAUAAGAGGAUACACAAGCGCUAGAGGGUUACAACCUAUCAACAAGGCUAGGUACCAAGUAAAUCUAGGCAAGUCUUUUGAAACGACUAGGCUAGAUAAUAAAAGGUUUAUUAUUCAAGAGAGUGGAAUCUGACAUUCCCCAUUUAAUGGGGCCGAACCUAGAAAUUUCACAAGUUUAGACUAUGAGAGGUUGUUUUCACUAGCUUUUUACAGGAACAUGAUUUAUAUUAAAGUCCAUAAUCGCAAAGAAUGCUGUAGCUUACUGCCUUAGCACACGACCCUCUCUCCAUAGGCCACCCAGUCUUGUCUGAGACCCUACUCUUGCCAAAAUGUCACAGAAAUAUUUAAUAAAAUGUGAAAGAAAUGACUGAUAUGAAGAAGAUGAAAUUCAUCACAACCCUCCUUACAUCAUAAGCACUAAUUGCACAAAAGGAUGAAUUUUCGGUCCAAAUGAUAAAAGAUAAAAUACAGAGAAUUGUGUAAAUUUAAAUGUAUUGAUUUAGUAAUCUUUUAGAGCUUGAACGUCUGUAUUUUAUAAUAUUUUAUUUUUUUUAAUUUGAUGUUAAAUAUGGCCUGUCGGAAGCGACAUAAAAAAUGUAGAAAGAAAAUAAAAGGGAAAACUGAAAGAAAAAUCAUAUUCGGUGGCUUUCUCUGUAGAUAGAGGCAUCAAAUGUUAGAAUGCGUUUCUUCGCCACUUGGAAUGCAUAUAUUAUUAAUUAUUAAUGCAUAAUGAAUCCAUUGAUGCAAAUGUGCAAGUUCAGAUUCAAUUGAUUAUAAUUUCAGAUUUCAGUUGCACAAUUUAAAUAAUGAUUUUAGUAUAAAGAAGUCCAUCGCCAAAUUUAUACUUAAAAGUUAGUUCAAGAAUGCCUCAAUAUCAUAUUAUUAUUAAGUAAAUUCUCUGAGUCGUAAAAUAAUAUCCUCAACACCCCUUAUUAUAUUGAUGUGACUUAUGAGCUCAUGUUUUGCCUGGUUCUUAUCCGGUAGUAAGUUAGUGUGAGCUUAUUAUGUGGGAGAUUGUCAAUUUCUCCCCUACAGUAAUCAAUAUAUAUCAUUCACCCCAUGUUAUUUUUAUAAUAACUAAUAACUCAUUUGACAGUAUAAGUUUAUAAUAUUUCCUCAAUUUUCAAAUACACUUUUAUUUAUAUUUAUUAUAAAUUAAAUAAAUCAUAUGAAUAGAAAAUAAUUAAAAAUUGAGUAUUAAAAACAAGAGAUAUAUGUUUUGAUGUGAACAAAAAAAAGUAAUAAUAAAAUUUUUUCUUGUACUUUUUAUUUUGUAAACAUUUUCUUAUAAUAAAUAAUUUAUAAUAUUUUAAAAUUGAAUGUAAAAAUUACAAGAAAAAUAUUUUAUUAUUUAUUUUAUAAUGAUUUUUUAUUGAUCAUUGAAGUUUUCUUAUAACAUUUUUAUCAUUUUAUAAUAAUUUUCUUACAUAUUUAUUAUAAGAAAAUGUUUAUAAAAUAAAAAAGUACAUGAAAAAUAUUUUUUUAUUAAUUUUUAAUUUUUUUCACAUCAAAACAUAUAUUUCUUAUUUUUAUACUUAAUUUUUUAUUUUAAUUUCCAUUCACGUGGUUUAUUUAAUCUAUAAUAAAUAUAAAUAAAAGUAUAUUUGAAAAUAAGGGUACUAUUGUAAACUUAUAUUAUCAGGAGAGUUAUUGGCUAUUGUAAAAACAACGGGGGGACAAAUCGUAUAUAUUAAUUACAGUGGGGGAAAAUUGGCAAUCUCCCCUUAUUAUGCUGUUAGUUUUAACUUAUGUCAAAUAAAAGCUCAUUGACUUAACUCUUACUCAAAAACUAACUCAAGAGUUGAGGAUUACCUCAAGCUAAUUUUAUUAGCCCAGUAUCUAUUUUUGAAUGUCAGAUAGUAUCAUCAACAUAAUAAUACUAGCUUAUAUAAUUGAUUUAAUUUUAUAUAAAAGCUGUCUUUUGGAAUGUAUAGUCUGGCAUAAUUACUUGAUUAUCAUAUCAUUAUUUUCUAAUAUUAGUAAAUAAUGAUUCUCAUGUGAACAAAGUUCGAACUUCACCUCUUGUAUUCUUAAAAAAAAUUCUUAUUUCAAUUAACUGAUUCCUGUAUCAUAGAGAUCAUUAUUACAAAUAUUAUCUCAAUGUCAAAACAAUAAUGUUGAUAGACAAGACAAUUCGUAAAAUUAUUUUCAAUCAGCAUUCACUUAUUAAUAAUCCAUGAUUAUUAUCACUGAUUCUAAUAAUAGUCGACAUCCUCAAUGGUAUUUUUUUUCCCAUUAAAUACGUGUAAGAAUCGAUCGCAAUAACUUCUAAACCAAAAAAUAUCUUAAGGGGUAUAAUCAAUUAUCACUAAUUAGUGGAAUAAGUUCAAACAUUGAAAUAUAUAGAAAAUAUAUAUAUAUAUUAUAUCUUUCAUUUAUAUCCUCUAAUUCAUAAAUGUUUCUAUCCAAAUCUCUGAAGUAAAAACCUACUAGAAGAGUAGAACGUGCGGUGGCCAGUGAUAAGUUGAGCCGGCCAUUAAUGUUCUGAAUAUUGUAUGAAUCAUGCCAGUAGGUAAGGUGUCAUUACUUAGGGCAUGCCACCUAGCAUUUGUUAACACUAAAAGUAACUGGGGCCAUUCCUGAGAAAUCUCGUCAGUUAAAAGCAUUUGUGUAUAACAAAUAAAAGAAGAAAAAAUAAAUUUGAAUGCACAAAGCAAAAUUAACUCCUAUUUCUAUUUAUAUAUUUCUUUUAAUUAGAAGAAAGGAUUGAUAAACGUCACCGCAUCACAAAAAGCCACGCGGAGGCUAUGAACAACAACAAAGUUUCGAGUUACUUUCGUUUAUAUAAAGUACAAGAAUAUGAUGUGAACAUAAUAAAGAUAAGCUCGUUAGUUUUUGUACUUGAAGCUUUAAUUCUUGGAACUUUUUUCUUCAAGUGUUUGAAUCAACAAGAAAUGCUACCUUGUUUUGCGGGUUAUUGCCUGCUUCACCGCUAUUUCAUUGCAUAAAUUACGGGAUAGUAUUUGGUUGAUGCUGAAAAGAAAGAUGAGGCCAAAAAAAAAGGCAGCAAUUAUAUGUAUAAAGAUUGAUCAUAGUACAUAAUAAGUUGUGGUACCAGGAUUCUGGGUCAACAAAACAGAAGUCAUAAUAGAGAAAUUAUAAGUUUAGAUUGUUAGAAUGGGAAAAAAAAAAUGUAAACUAAAAGGGGUCCAGUAUCUGAGGCCUCAACAUAGCUCCGCCUAUCUUUCUCUUUUUUUUUUUUCAAUGCUAGUUAGACAAUUUAACUAUAUAGGAGAAAUAAUUGAUGAAAAUAAAUAAUACGGGCAUUUGAUAAUUAUAAUUUGUAUAUAUUAGUUAGAAGGAAGAGUUUGUUUCCUUAAUAAUAUUUUAUUCUAAAAACCCUUGGUUCUAGUAUAUCUGGUCUGGUGACACACAUCUUUUUAAAUAUUAUAGAUCCUUGAAUAUGCACAUAAAUGAUGGAACUUGAGAAAUGAUAUUCAUCUAUUGUUAAUAAUGAAGAGAUGUUCAAACCAUCCAUUAUGAUAAAAACCAUCACAUAUUUUGUUCUUAAAACGAAAAAGAAUGAAAUGAUAAUAAUGAAGAAAUGAAAAUGAAGCACAUUGGUGCAAUAAAGGAAAGCAAGGUAGCCCAUGUAAUAGGUGCAUAAAUGAUUAGAAAUAAUAAUAGCCGCUAGUGGAGUGGAUGGAGCAAGAGACACAACAAUCACCAAAACUCCCAAGUUCAGCUGAUAUAAUUUCUCUCUCUCUCUCUCUCUCUCUCUCAAUAAAUCUGCUUAUAUAUAAUAUUAAUAACGAGGGCGUCCAAGAACUAUGAUUCCCUACACAUCGGAUCUGCUGCAAUCUCUCAUUGCCUCUCAAUACACCCAUCUCUCCCCUCUAUUAUUUUUUGCCCAUUUAUCCAUUAAAGAUAAGAUUGGAGCUCGUACUAUCGAAUUUUGGGCACAUUAAUUAUUCAUAUAUCAUCAUAUUUAUCAAGCUUGCAAUAGAGAGACUACAAAAGAAAUAUGAUUAAACAAAUCGUGCAGGGAAAAUUGAUCUUUCGUAUUUCGAAAGGUCACAUAAUAUAUAUUUUUGGUGGCUGCCGUAUGCCUCAUUUUGGUUGCAUGGGGAUUUUUUUUUUUGUAUCAGUACUGUAUUUUCCCACAACGGAGAAGAAGCUUGCUCGCCAUACAAUUUGAUUGGACCACCGCGGCAUAUAAUAUUCAUAUGAAUUAUAUAAUUAAGGCCGGAGAAUGACAUUUUCAUCAUUUUUUAAAUUGUUUUUACAACUUAAAGUCUUGAUAAUUUUGGGUAUCUCAUGUCAACAAUAGUGAUAGAAAAACUAUUAAAAGGUAAAUGUGUAACAUUUUAUAUAGAAUUAUAAAUUAAUUACUCAAGACCUCUACAAAUUAAAAUUAAUUAAUUUGUGUGUCAAAAUGUCACAUUUACAAUAUAUUUUUUCUGCUAUAUUAUAACAUCAGUGAUGAAAUAGAAUAUUAAAAAUUUAUUAGUAACUAAGCGGUAAAAUAAAAAAAAUAAAGAGGGACCAAAGCGUCAUUCUCAACAUAAUUUAAUGGAGUCAUGAAAAGCAAUUAUUACCAAGUGAAAGAAAUAUGAAGAAAUAACUCAAAAUGAUGAAUAUCAAGAAAAGCCCACUUGCCUAACUUGAUUUUAAAUGGAUCCUACAAGGAAUAAUACUCACUGUAAUUGAUGGUAUGAAAUCUAAAUAGAAUCCAAAGGAAACCAUUAGGGAUAAAAACACUGUACGGGAAAAUAUUAGUCAAUCCAAAUAUAUUAAAAGUAGAAAGGAACUUGAGUGAUCGUGAAAAUGAAAGACACAAUAAAAAAAUUGGGGGGACACCCAAUGGAUAGUUUUCUGUUGAUCAAGACCACAUAGAAAGUGACAUAAGAAUUGAGAUGGUGAAAAUUAGGCCCCAUUUUGCCUUUAGUUGUGGUACAAGGUCAUGUGUAUGUAUAUGCAGCUAGAGGGAGACUGAGACUUACUCAUAAAAGUAGAGAGAAAGAUGGAGUGAGGACCCCAUUUGGUGAUAAUGCAAGUAGCCUUCAUCCUCCCUGGACUUGUUCCCACAAGUCCAAAUUAAAUAUUGUGCACCUUAUAUUCCAUAUACUGCUUCAAAGCUAUUUCAAAUGAUGCAUAAAUACUCAAGAUUUGAACUUUAGGGUUUCUAAUUGUCAAUUCAUCAAGUGGCUGCAUACAUUAUUGUAGAUGUGCUGCUUAUGGUAUGACUACUUUUAAUAGUAAUAAUAAAGGAUUAUAAUUAAAUAGCAUAGUCUAGGCAUAAAGUUAUUUAUUGAAGAACUAUUGGAGGAAAUUAAGUACGUAGUACAGUAGUACUCUCGACUAUGCUACAAUUAGUGAAUAAACAUGAUCAUUAUGUCAUAUCAUUAUGGCAAUAUUUUUCUUUUUUUCUUGUAACAUUACUGCGUAGCUAAAGAGUCAAUGAGAGUGAUUGAUUAGCUCAUGGAACUGAAUUUCAAAUGUUUUACUAGGUAACAUGUGGUGACAAAUAACCAAAAUUAAAAAAAAAAACUCAAAAUAUAUUUUAAUUGUAAAAAUACUUAUGUCGCUUUUCUAAUUUAGAUUAGAUAUCGCUUCAAACCAACUUUUAGAUUAUAUAAUUUUUUUUAAUUAAUCAAUCACUUUCUUAGACCUUUUCUAAAUUUGAACUAUAAAUUUAAAAGUCAUCCUUAAAAUUAAUAUGGAUAAUGUGAAUGAAGUAAACUCGCAUACACUUUACGACAAAAAAAAAAAUGAGACUUAAAUCUAUCAAUUAAAUCUAUCGUAUUCAUGUCAAUUGUCUUUUACAUACCUUAAUCAUAUUUUUGUUUUUGUUUGAUUCAUGUCGAGCAAAGACCAUAAUUAAUGAAUUUCAAUAAAAUAAUUGGACUUAAACCCAUUACAUAUAUAUUUAAAAAAAGAGAGGAAGUUAGUGAUUUUAAUUAGAAAGUUAGUUACAUAAGCAUACUAAUCAGUAACAAAGAUACUAAAUAAGUUAAUAAUAAUAAUAAAAGCACCCUGCUAUUUUAGGAAGGGGCUGACAAAUCCUUAAUACCCGCAGAAUCUCAAGCCGAAGCCUGUAAUACUACUUUUGUUGUAAACACGCGCUUUUUGUACUCGUAAAAAGCACGUGACCAAUAAUUAACAGCGGUGAAGUCCACCUUCCCACGUGUAGAGUGGGAGGAAUCUGUCAACAGUUAAGCUCUUACAACUUCCCAGGUACGAAACCGCCAAUCACGAUACUCUAGACCCCGUUUGAAUGCGUCGAGUGACACGUCAUCGACAUGAUAUGUCAGAUCCGAAGCACGAGACGGUGCCACGUGUAAGAAUCCAUGUGGUUGGGGACGUAACAGACGACUGGUUUCCCGCCAUCCUUCUCGGGCCCAAAAUCCUAAACACACUGCCGCAUGCACUGAUUAUAAGAUGAUCCAUUUGUGAGUUCCCAACUCCCCAUGCAACUCCCUUCGUUUUUAUUUCUCAAAAAAAUAAAAUAAAAUAAAAGGGGAAAAAGAAAUGAUACCAUUGUUGGGAAUCAUGAAUCUUCGUGAUCAUUGAAUAAUAAAAUAUAUUUGUCACAAGGAAGGAUACUAAUUCGUUCUAUUCCGUAUUUUUGAGUUAUUUUUUUUAGUAUUCUAACUAUUCUCACUUGUAUUUGGUAUAAAUUUCUGAACGAUGCUAAAAAGUCUAUAUAAAAUGAUAUUGUGAUUAUAUGGACUUACAUUCUCGGUAGACGUACGCUUGAUUAUAAUGAGGAUAAAUUUAAAUUAAACUAAAGAAAAGAAUCUUUAAAGUGAUCAAAUGAUUCGAUUAAUAAAUUAAUUUCCAAUAAUUAUCAUCUCAAUCUAAUCAACUAAUAUAUUUGUGCUAAAUAAUGCUAAACUCAACCAAAUCAACUAACAAAUAUUCCUUUUAAAGGUUUUAUAAUAGUUUGACUUAUCUCUUUCGUGCAUGAAAAAACGAAUAAAUUUUUAUCUCUGUGUAAGUCAAAUUCAAGAUGUUAAUAUUUACGCAUCUCUCAUAACAAUCAUUCUGCCGCAAUUUUUCUUUUUUGAAAAUCUAAUUAUAUCUGUCUAUCUUGACUUUGAUUUAUGACCAAUACGAGCACUCAUCAGCAGAUAUUACAAGCUUAAUUUAGUAAUAAUGGAUCAUAAAGUUAACCAACAUCCAAGACACAUCACUUACAAUAUUUAUAUCUAAUUAGAUGCACCGUUUUCAUAAUUCUUUCAUAUUUUUUCUUUAAAAUCCUUUACAAACAUAACUUUAAAUAUAUUCCUUGAAAUUUUCAAAGACCAGAGAGAUGCACAAACCAUUACUAAAAAUUCAAAUUUUAAUACCCACUAGAAUUUCUUUUCGAGAACUCCACUCAUUUUUGUUGUUGUUGUUCUUCUUCUUUACCACGGUCAAUGCCAAAGAAACAGCAAAAACUAACGCCACUUUCUCUCUUACAAUUUACAGCUCAAAGCAAAGCAAAGCAAAGAAGUGGCAAAAAACCAAACCCAACCCCUCUCUUAUCUCUCCCCACCGUCCAUGCUUCGGACACUCCCACGUGGCAGUCAUGUCAGUGGGUCCCAUCUCCCACGGCCUCUGGUUAUGGAUACAUUCCCAUGGCUCUCUCCCCCAUUUUCCCCCCUCUCUCUUGUCUCUCUCUUCCUCCCUCUCAAUAAAUAUUAAAUAAAAUACAUACAUUAAAAAAAAAAUCUUUUUUUUUCAUAACAUUAAUAAUAAUUCCGGUGGAGUUUCUGUCAUAUUCCGGCCACUCACUUUUUUUCUUUCUAUAUAUACCCCACUUUCACUUUCCCAUCAAUACCCUCACCAUUUUUUUCUCUCUCUUUUAAUUCAUUCCAUAAAGAGCCACUACACAUAUACAUGUAUGCACAUAUAUGUAUAUAUAACACGCCUGGGGCUCUCGUAUAAUAUAUAGUACAAAAUCUCUUCUUCACAAUGAACUCGUGUUAAUGUGUUAAAGCUCAUCAUCAUCAGCAGCAGCCUUACGAUAUCGUACAAUCACAAAACCUAACCCACCCUUGGUCGUCAUCACCAUUUCAACUUCUUCUUUUCUCUUUUCUUUUUGAUUCAUAAUAAUAUUAGGAGUCUUGUAAUUGUUUUAUUUUGUGGAAUGAUGAAUAGAGGGACGUUGCUGCCAGAGAUGUUGCACUGUGCGGACAUUACAGUACUUGAGAGGCAACGUGCCCGCUUGAAAUGGCAACAAGACCAGCUUCAGCAGCCGCAGCAGCAGCAAGAGCUUCAACAACAACAACAUCAAGAGCAGCAGCAGCAGCAGCAGGAAGUGCGUUACUUUAGUGAGUUGAGUCAGUUGAUCAGCCAGGGUUAUGACGAGGGUGGCUUGAUGAUGGGGCAACAAGUGAAGCCCGACCCGGCUUUUGAAAACGGGUGGCCUGACUUGGGAAAGAUUGUUGCCCCUGCUGCCGGCUACGGAUUUGGGCCUGGUUUUGAGGCCAGUUAUGCCAUUUCAAGAACCUCUAGUUCCCCACCGGCGGUGGUGCCAGAGGCCGUGGAUGUGAAGGGGAAGGUGUCAGUGGCUGCUUUGAAUGAGAAGGUGAGUGCUGCGGUUGGAAGAGAAAGCUUCAAGAAGAGGAAAGCUGAUAAGGUUCAAAACACAAAGGUUUGUUUGAGCUUAUUUUUUUAUUAUUUUUUUGGCCUAAUUUAAUUUUAUAUGAAUUAUAAGGGAAAGUUUUGACAAGUUUGGUCUCUAUAAAUGCUUAUUAAUUGUUUAAUUAAUUAUAGGUUGCUGUAGAAGAGAACACUAAAGACAAAAGGAUGAAAGGAUCAGCAGAAGAGGGAGACUCAUCAAAAAUCACAGAGCAAAACAACAACAACAACAACAACAGAAGCAACAGCAAUAAUAAUAAUAAUAAUAAUAAAAAUAAUAAAGAAACUUCUGCUGAUACUUCAAAGGCUUCUGAGGUUCAAAAGCCUGAUUACAUCCAUGUCCGGGCUCGCCGCGGCCAAGCUACUGAUAGCCACAGCUUAGCUGAAAGAGUGAGUUUUAAUUUCACCAGAAAGUAAAAUCUUAUGAACAAACUUAAGUUCAUUAAUCUUGCUCUGUAAACAAGUCUAAUUCAAUUACCUGUAUUGGCAGGUGAGAAGGGAAAAAAUCAGUGAAAGAAUGAAGUAUUUGCAAGAUUUAGUACCAGGAUGCAACAAGAUCACAGGGAAAGCUGGAAUGCUUGAUGAAAUUAUCAAUUAUGUUCAGUCUCUUCAAAGACAAGUAGAGGUAAAAAGAAAAAUAAAUAAAUAAAAAUAAUUCAUCUCAAUAUUCAUUUUGCUUAUUUCUACAUAUUGUUAAUCUUUAUAAUCAUCUAUCUCAAUAAUUGAACAGUUCCUGUCGAUGAAACUAGCUGCUGUAAAUCCAAGGCUUGACUUCAAUGUUGACAACUUAUUUGCCAAAGAGGUGUGAGGCAACAUUUCAAACUCAAUCUCCCAUGUUACAUUUAUAUAUAAUUGCUUAUAAUUGAUUGAUUACUUGUUACAUAUAUAUUUAUUUUCACUAACGUUUGAUAUUAAUUUGACUCAUUAGGCCUUUCCCGUUUGCCCAUCAAAUUUUCCCACAAUUGGAAUGUCAUCAGAAAUGACCCAUCCGGCAGCCUAUCUUCAUCAGUUCAAUUCUUUACAACAAGAAGCUGUUUCAUGUUCUGGUUUGGAUUUGGGAAUCAUUAACCCUUCUGAAAUGGGGCUCAGAAGAACCAUCAGUGCUCCUGUAUCGGCCCCGGAAACAUUUAUUGACUCAUCUUGCUACCCUGUAAAUAGUUUCCUCUCCACUCUUUAAUUUUCUACUUUUCAAUUUCUGUGCUGUAUUAAUUCUUUUUACUCACAUAGGUAACACUUAAUUAAUUUACAGCACUUACAGCCCUCUUCAAAUUGGGAUUCUGAUUUGCAAAACUUCUACAAUGUGGCAUCUUUUCCAUCUCAGCAAUUUACAGGUAAUUAACUAAAGAGAAAUUGCAUAUAUGUGUCUUGUCAAUCUUUUCUGUUGAUUAUUUUUCACGUUUUAAGGCAGAAAUUGAAUCAACAUAGUGGGUUUAAUUUAACAACGGACGAUGGAGACCUUAUAGAGCCCCACAAUUGCUAAUGAUUUCACUUUGGAAAAAAUUGGGUCCUCUUGCAAACUUUCAAAUAUCUUUCUCAUUCUAAAAUCAUUAAACCCAUAGAUUUUUAUUGUUUUUAAAAUUUUUUGUAAUAUUCCCACAAAUGUUUUUCAACAAAGGUGACAUUAAAGGUUGUCGUGCAUCUUGGCUACCCCAUGACUCAUUAACUAUCUAUCACUACCUAUUAAUGGUGGAUGUACAAUAUACAAAGACAUAAAGCUAACUGGGGUCCCCUUUUGUAUAAGUGCUAAUUCCAUUAUAUAAAUUAUCAAAACGAUCUUAAUAAAUUUGAUGAAAUUUUACAUUUCUCAAAAAUUUCUAAAAUGGGCAUUCGUGAAAAUGAUCUAACUCAAGUCAAUUGACCUCAUGCAGGUACCCUUGAAGCUAGCAAUCUAAAGAUGGAGAUGUGAAUCAAGAGUAUUCAUCACACGAUUUCUUAUGACAGAUUAUUGCAGAUGCCUUUGAUUCAAAUUCUUUUCUUCUUCUCUAAGUACAUAGCGUAUAUAUAUUUUGUAUGUAUACUUGAGACAAGUACAACGAAUAAGACUAAUACCUAUUAACUUUAACCUUUUUUCAUUCAAUUGUGUGAUCACAGCAUGCUGAGUUUUAGUUAAAAUUGAAUAGUUGAAUGCAGUUAAAGAUGAUAGCGAUGGGAUUUCAAGAAAAUAAAAUAAAAUAAAAUAAAAGAUGAUAGCGAUGGAUGCAGGGGACCAAAGCUUAAGCAUUAGUGGGGUUGGAAAAAAAGACUUGAGAUAGGAAAUGCAAGCAGGAUGAGACAUCUUCAAUUCACAUCCUCCGCAACUUAUAAUUUUUUUCUUUCCUAUUCAUCUUCUUAAUUUUUUACUAUAUGCAAAAUCAUUUUGUGGACAAAAUUACGCAUGGAACAUUACAGCAAUCUAGUUCAUUAACUUCGCCUACACCACUUUAAUUUUUUUAAAUUGUUAUAAACUAUAGAUAUAUUACAACUUAAAUCUACUAGAAUUUUAGGUAUAUAUGCUUUGUAGUACAACAGAGAAGUCUGCUAAGCAUUAACUUUAAAAUCUGCUCCCACUAAUGCUUGAGGAGUUAUCUUAUUCAAAGGGAAUGAGCUCCAUGGGGCUCAAACAUAUUCAUGUCCUCAAUAUGUGAAGGACAGGAGUAUUACAAACCCAAUGACUAAGUGUCACGUUACUUGAAAAUAAUUUUUUUUUUUAAACAUUAUUUAAAGAAGCACAACAUUUCUUCCUAAUUUAAUUUAUUGUUUAUCUUAGUUAUCUUACUUCAAAAGAAAAAAAAUCAUUUUUUUUAAAGAAAGUAUGCCUUUCAUUAAAGAUGAAUGCACUAUUUUACUAAAUUCUUGAUGUGUGCAUUUAUAUCUCGAGUCUCAACCAAUCAAAAUAUAACAAAUGCGCACAUGGUAAAAAUUAAACUUGUGGGAAUGUGGAGUGGUUUAGACUGCCAAUCGAUAAACCAUGUGAUAAAUAAAUAAUUGAAGUAACCAAAGCUGUCGAGAGAGAGGCCUUGAAAGAGCUUAGGGUAACUAUUUAGCCAAAGACGAAAAGCUUGCACGGUACUUCUUUUUUAUGGAGAGUUUGUACUGAUGUUAAUUGUCAUAAUGAUGAUAAAAUACUGCUGUUAUCUCACUAUCAAAUUGGCUUUACAUCUUAUAUUACACAAAUUUACUUUAAAUUUCAAGUUUUACUUUUCAUUGCGAAAUGUUUGUAUUCCAUUAAAAAAAUUCAUUUAUUGGGUGUUGUAACUUUCAAACUACCGUUAUUAUGAAAAAAAUUGUAAUUAUAAAAUAAAAGUAGAUAGUGUAUUGUAAAUAUAUAACGUUUAAGUAAUAAUUUGGACAAAUAUAGUAAAAACAUUAUAAAUUUUUUAUCAUAUUAGCAUUCGCUUAAAUCAAUUUAAUUUUCAAGUCACAACGGCUAAUUUUUACCGAAUACUUAAGUGUUGUAGUUUAAAAUCUAGUUUCAAUACCAAAUUGGGCAUUAAUGAAUGAGAAAGGGGCAACUCGUGGGCUGCGGCGAGUGGGGGGACCAAUGAGAGUUGCACAACUAAAUAUUGAAUGUAUAUUCUUCUAAUUCUCACACAACAGCCUCAAGGUUUUAUUUCAUUUUCAAGCCAUAAGUAACACAGAAGGAAGUGGACCUGGCCUCAUCCACAGGCAAGAUCUCUCUGAUUCUCUUUGUUUUCUGUGGAUGUUGAAAUAUGAUAUUGCCUUUUCAAUUUCUCGGGCCCAAUCCAGCUCUCUAUGAAAAAAUUUUCCAUCCAAUAUAAUUUUUGAGGUUUCUCUCUCCCCUUUUCACAUUGUGCAAUUCCAAGGUUUUUAAAAAGGAAUAUUAUUAUUUUCUUAUUAAAGGUAUUCUGACACAUCAUGUCAGUACCACGGUUUGGUAAAACUAUCAAUUUAUCACCAAACAUUUAAACUGUUAUCAUUUUCCCAUCAUUCCAUUAAAACUCAGUUAAUAUGUAAUGAAAAAUUCAUAAAAGGUCAAUUUUACCCCUGGAGCAUAAAAGACCAUGUAAUUAACCUUUUAUGAAUUUUGUAAUUAAAUCAUCAUUUGCUGUUCUUCCUUCUUAAAGGACAAAAAUUACCCUUUAUGAAUUUUGUAAAAUUGACCGUGUGAUGCUAGGUACUUCAUAAAUUGAUUUAAUUUAUUAAAAUUUUAAAGGACAAAUUUAUUUAUUUAAUUUUUUGUGUAAAAUUAUUAUCAUCAUAUCAAAAAUUAAUAUUUUAAUCUUAAAUCACAUAAAACUCAACUUGUUACUGAGAUAAAGCAAAAGCUCAAUUUUAUAAGCUCAAGGUUAAUUACAUGGUCUUUUACGCUCCAGGGGUAAAAUUGACCUUUUAUGAAUUUUCCGUUAUAUAUUAACUGAGUUUUAACGGAAUGAUGGAAAAAUGCUAACAGUUUAAAUGUUUGGUGGUAAAUUGAUGGUUUUACCAAACCGUGACCAUGAUGUGUCAGAAUACCUUUAGUGGGAAAAUAAUAAUAUCCCUUAUAAAAAUUCAAAAAGAAAAAUACUUCAAAGAUUCUCUUGGCUAUGUGUGUACUUUUGUGCAAGUGUGCUACGACAAAAAAUUGUUUGAAGCAAGUAGCAAUGAGCUUAGCCUUAGCCCCCCAAGUUUGUCUUUACCUUGACACAAACUCAAUUUCUGCAAAGUUUUCAUAGACAGAAAAAGCAUAACUUUUGAUUUAUAUAACCCAACAAGAAAAGGGUAAUAAGGGUGUGCAAAUAAUGCUUUUUCUUUCUUACUUUUUGGGCAGCUGGAGGCAACUGAAAAACAACGGGCAAUCCAAAAGCAAUUAUCUCUGCUUGGAUUAACAGAAUUGAGAGAAAAUAUUGAAGAUAAAUGUAUGCCCUCUAAAGGCACUAACGUACAACAAUAUAAUAUCAUUUUGCUUGCAGGUAGGAUGAUAUAGGCACUAGAGCAGCAUCUGUUGACAAGAACUCCAAUGGUGCUCUCCAAACGAGACAGACACAGAAUGCUUAUGAGCAUCAAAAGCAAGUGAUAUUGAACGAUCGUCUGUGUAGAAAAUACAAACUCUCAACUAAAUCCUAGACUAAACAAGUGAUUCGAUAAUGGCUUCUGAAGAAGGUAGAACAAGAAACGAAGAAGAUCUAUUUAUUCAAGUUCAAAAUGAUACUCUGCUAAAACUAGACAGCUACAGUUCUGCCGUUUGUUCAUAGAAGCUUAGCUGAUCUAGAAAUUAUCAGAAUGCAACUGAGUUUAGCAUCAGAUAAUGAGAAAAUGACAAAACACAUGAGCCAUUUAUUAAAAAGAGUCAUAACAGCAAAUAUAUUACAAAGUUUUGAACUAAAUUGGUGCCAUCAGAUACUUAAAUUACAAAUAAUCAAAAGUAAAGUAUCAACAACGAAAAAAAAGGACAAUGAAGUCUUCUUUAGAUAUUACAGACAUUCUUCCAUGCAGCUUUCUUCCUAACACUAGCUAAUAAAAACAAUCAAUUGAACGAUCACACAAUGCACACAAAGUUCAUGACCUACAGAUCCCCAAAAGUGUAUCUGGUUCCAUCAUAUCAAUGAUGCAUCUCCAGCUUCUGCCAAUCCACAAAAUACAAUUCUACUUAAGUUACUCCUACGCUACAAAGCCAUCUUAUUAAAAGCAGGGAAUGCAACUGGGACUAGUACCUUUUCCAGGAACAACUAUAAUAGGAGCAGUUUUACAAUGGUGUAAACAAUAUUCACCCACACUUCCCUGCAGUACACUGUAGAGCAAUCCAGCAAUGUUAGAGAGGGGCAUUAACACAAUAUGAAAAAUAAAUAAAUAAUUAGAAAAGAGGGAUGUUCCAAUAAAGGUUCUCCUAGUUUAUUAAAGUAAGGGAUCCCCUAAAACACACGAAAAACAUACACUCUAAUGCAGUAUAUUUUGUCCUAUAAUAUAUUGGAAUAUGUGUUCUUCUGUUUUUAACUUGUCCCUUAAUUUAAUAAAGUAAGGUAGCCGUUACUUGAUAAUGACUCAUUAGAAAAAAACAUGCACAUACAGAAGAAGAGAUAGAGAGAGAAAAUAGAUGGUAGGGAGAGAACCUACCUCUGUAUUAGGCCUCUGCCUCGGCUACCAAUCACCACAGCUGCUGGUUUUAACCUUUCAGCUUCCUUGCAAAUUACCUUAGCUGCAUCCCCUUCCACAAUCCGAGCCUUAGUCCUCACCUGCUCCAUAUAAAUUAUUUGAGAUUGAUGCUAAUGCUUCUCAAGACACCAACCUUGAACAAUUAUUGAUUUGUCAAAAGUCAUAAUCAGUGUGCUAUGCCUAUUUGGCUAUGACGACUUGUAUUCCAAAUUCAAAAAACUAGCUCUAUUAUAUUUGUUACCAAAACAUAGGAGGAAAAAGAAAAAAAGGUAAUGCUGGGGAUGCAAACCAUUGUGUACAAAAUAAUUUGUACCCUUAGUAUCAUCCAAGGGAAAAUCUUAUAUUUAGGUACAUGCAAGAUGCGACAAAACAGCAUGGGAAACAAAUUCUGGUGUUGCAUGCAAAGGAUGCUUUUAGGAGCUCAAUUACGAUGGUAAUAUCAUAAUCAAUCAUCUUAAACUAUUGCAAUCAAUGGUGUUUCAGAGAAACAUCAAGUUCACUGAAGUUGAAAAAGACAGGUACUGAGUUGAUUAAUAAAUUCAGCGCCUCUCCUAAUUCAAGAUUUACAUUUCUAACAUCUUUGAAGCAACAAUAAAACAAAAUUUCACGAGAUGGUAUUGAGAAAUACUCAAAAGGACUGACCAUAGCAACAUCCAUAGCCUCUAUAGCAAGCUUCUCCAUCAGCCCCUGGCUCAUAUCAUAAACAAUUUGAUUCUGCACACCUGAAAGGAUAAAAGCCAUAUGCCCCCAUUUUUCAUUAAAACUAGUAGAACGUACAAUUAUAAAUUCAAUGCACACACGUCAAGAUUUUAGUAGCAAAUUCGCCCAUACAUCCCCCCCCCCCCCCCCCCCCCCCCCCCCCCCGGGGGGCCGGGGCGCCUCUCUCUGUCUAUUCUUAAGUAUUAAAUGACACGCAACAUUUACAAAUGGGGAUGAUUAAUGACCAUUAGAGGCAUUGUUAUAACAAUUCAUUUGUAACAAGAAGAUAAUCAAAUUCAGAACAAAGAACACAAAAUAAUCAAGUUUAGUGCACACAUCUCAAGAUUUUAGUGAUGAAUAAGAGCCUACACAAAACAAGAUUUCGGAUCUCUCAGUUGUUUUCCUCUGUCUAUUCUUGACUUUUAAAGAUGAAAUUAAUGGUAUGUUAAACUACUUAACUUUCCAUUUGUAACCCUCAAAUUUCUCAAAAUUAUUUUUUAUGCGUCUCCUUCAUCAUUGCUCUCGCGUACACAUCUCGUUCAAGAAUAGACAAGAAAGAAGAAACAAAGCAUUGGUAUGAAUCCUUUUGCAACAAGAUUGUAUGUAUGAUAAUAAAAAAGGGGGGGGGGGGGGGGUAAAAUUUAAACAUACUGGAAACAGCAUGGACAAGAUGGAUGGUGUCAGCGAGUCUGCAGAGAUGGAUGAGGGCCCAAUCGAAGGCGUGCUUGCUGUUGGGACCAUGAUCGACGGCUAUCAAUAUGUCUCUGCCUCUCCUUCUCUCCCCUGUCUCUCUCUCAAGCUCUGGUUCUGCUGCCGCCGUGGGCGACAGAGUCGGCAGAUCCACCUCUCUCCAGCUGUAAACUUCUUCCUCUUCCUUCACCGGUUCCAUUGUCCCUGUUUCUCUGUUUCUUCUCUCUGUGUCAAAUGGAAAGAAAAGUAAUAAAAAGAAACAAACCCCUUUCCGUGAUUUCGGUAAAAGACACAUUCGUAAUCUCUUUAUCGAUAUUAUUAAUAUAAUAAUAAUUUCAAUACAUUAAUGGAAGAGUCGUGUCGAGCUGACCAUCUUUGAAUGGUCUUCUCCAAAUGUGUAAAAUAAGUGUUGGAUUUGGUUACGACAAGACAAAGUCUGUGAGAGCGCGGGAAUCUAGAAAUUUAUUGGCAUCUAAAACGGUAAAAUUCCUUGUGAUUUUGGUAAUUUUAUUAAUUUAUCCUUAUCUUUGGUUAGAACUUAGAAGAAAUGAUUAAAAAAAGAAAGAGGAAUUUAAAAAAAAAAAAAAGAGAGAAAGGAAAACGAAUAAAAAAAAUCAAUCUUACUUUCGUUAUUUAGUUGGAUAAAGGAUUUAUAUUUCUCUCCUCUUUUUCUUUCUUCUCCUUAUAUUUCUUUAAAAUAACUCAUGCCGUCCACAUAUUUCUCAAUUCUAACAUUAAACAUAUUUUAACAAAUUAAUCAAUAAUUACUUUUGUUUGCCACAUCGUAAAUGUUGAUUGGUGUUAGUUGACUUAAUUUUUUAUUGUUAAUGUAAUUAUCUUAUUAUACCUAUCCUCGCGACAUGUUAAAUGUUACAUCACUCGGUAUCUUAUUUUUAAUUAUUGAUGUAACUACUUUUGAGGAUUACGCAAUUGUCCUCACUCCCCGACCCAAAUUCAAAUUGCUUAUUUUAUUGACUUCACCUUUGCUAACAGCGUAAAACGUGACAAUAGCCCACUUAAUUUGACAACUUAGGCUCGGGUAAGCUAAAUUCACGCUUAAGAUUUUGGUAGAUGAUCAAACAAUCAUUUAUUUAAGAAUUUAUGAGAUUCUCGUAAGUACAUAUGAGUUGUCAACUUAUUUUAAUCAAAUAAAGACGAUUUAAAUCGUUACUUUGUACCCAAUACAUUAACAAAUCCUCAUAAGACUAAUUAAUAAAUAAUAUCAUAUCCAACUUAGUCCAAUCUGACAUACCAAAAAGUGUAAAGGUCUUGAUUACAUUAAAGAGACAUGUUAAUGUAGAUUUAUUCAAAUUUCGUAUGAAAACAUAAAUAUAUUAAUGUCAUUAAUGGGCUUAUUUUAUAAGACUAAAUAUAUUAAUAAAUCUAUCCAAUUUUUUUUUUUUUUUUUGAAUUCAGGAUAUCCACUUCAGCUCUACCAUGUGAUAUGCACUUUUUGCCAGUCCAAAUCCUUUUCCUCAAACAAAAUUCUAUCCUCAGCCUGCUCUCCAGCUAAAGAUUUAAACUUGAAAUAUUGCAGUCCAGCAAAUGCAAAACAUAGUACUUGUAGUUGUCCAUGUACUACAUUUUUCAAAUGCCUAAACCGACUCCAUGUUCGAAACUAUUCAAGUCAUGGCCGUAGCCGGAGAGUGAACUUGCCAAACCAAUCACAACAUGAUAAUUACUCAGCUUACCCUCCGAGGAAGAGCUACAAAGAUGCUAAACCACUGAUGUAAUCAUCACACAUUUCAGUGCAGGCGAGUUCUAGUUGUUCUGUUUGAAAACAGAACUGCAAAGCCCGGGUGUUAGCUUGCAACAUUGGUUGUUCUGCCUGCAAUGGGUGCAAGGAUUCUGCCAUUGGCAAUAACGUGUCCUGUUCAUACAUUCUGAAAAGCCAAUCAUCUGGCUUCUCCCUUCGUGUGUAAUUAUGCAAUGCACAGGCAACCACUACCAACUUCACCUGUGUUUGUAAUGGGCAUGGAGGAGCAGAUAACAAAAUGGUGAACUGCCCCUUUAGGGCCCCAAAAAAUACGAUCAGUGGCAUUCCGUAAUGAUGAAUGCCGUUGAUUAAAUAGCUUUUGGCAUCUUGUCGAUGAUAACCGCUGGGAAUUUGGUUUGUGCGGUAGGGAACACCUUGAUAUGGGGCAAUGAAGCCUGGCAUAUUUGCGUACUUGUUAUCCACAAGGUAGUACUUUCCUGGAUUAUUAAAGGUUUUAUUCAAUAAGAACUCAAGAGAAGGGACUUAAAAGGCAAACCCAUAAACACGUCACUCUCUCCGCUAUCGUAUACGGGAUCCCAGGGCCUAUAGAAUUGUCCCAAAAACCUUACAUAUUUAAGACACCCUAGACCUCAUCACGUUCUGUGUUUGUAUGCAAUUAAUUCGGAUCUGCAAACAACAUUCUAGUGAGUCCCACGUAACCAUAAACAACACCCUGGGGGACCUUACUGUAUAUUGCGUCUCGUGAGCGCUGAAUUUAGAACUCGCAAAUCUGACGCUGAGCCUUCCCAACCAGCCAGGGACAUAAUGAAACUUCAAAUCAAAUGAGCAAGCCGCCGGCACGUUUUGCAGAAAGUAAUCCACUCUGGUUACGGAAAGGUCCCCGCUCGUCUACACCUACCAUAACUGGAAUGUGCAUACCCAUCAACGGCUCCAACACAAUCCUGGCAUAAGAUCGUUAUUAAUUAAAAAAAAAAAGAAAAGAAACGGAAAGACUAAAGAGGAAGAGAAGGUGCUCAGGAUAAUUAAGAAUGGAUUGGAGAAUUUUUCCUCAUGUUAAUCUCAGAUUAACGAGAUUAACUUCACUCAUCAUCAUCGCACUUUCUCUUCCGAAGAAGUAUAAAAUUAAAAAAAAAAUCAUAUUAAGAAAAAAAAAGAAAGAAAUUUUGAGAAAAAGUAUAUACGCAGACGGCUGAAUUGGGGUUUAGGGUUUCGCUUUUCCCAUUACUACUAUUUAUAGGCAGAGAGAGGAGGAGGCGUGCUCGUAAAUUUCAUUGAUACCCUUUUGUUUUUAUAAUUCGUCAGAUAAUUAUAGAGUUUUUAUAUUACUUCUUAGUAUGUCCAAAAUUCAACUCUAUUUUUUAAUUAGAAUUAUAGAUUUUUUAAUAAAAUGAUUAAAUUAUAUAUUUAUUAAAUAAACUGAAAUCAUUAACAGGAUAAAAUAUUAUUAUUUCUUUAACUUAUUAUAAAAAAGUAUUAUGAAAAAAAGUAUGUCAAUAUAUUAUAAUAUCGUUACUAAUAUUUGAAAGUUACAGAAUAAUGCAGUAACAAUUAACAACAUUUUUAUAAUUUCAUGACUUAUUUCAUUCACAAUCAUAUAUGCUUAUUCUUUUUCUUCUUAUUAAAUAAAAUUAUUCAAGAAUUAUUGCAUUGUUGUUACUCUUUUAUUAAAUAUACAUUUCGAGUGCUUUGAUGGUAUAUAUAUUGUAUUUACUCUUUUAUAUGGAUCAACAUUCACACAAAUAUUUAUUUAUAAAUCAGCCUAGGUAAUAAAAAGUCCUGGAUUUUCUUUUAUUUAAAACAAAGUAAAAAUAGAAAUUCAAAUUUAUGAAAAAAUGGGGUCUUUUCUAAUAGAAAAUUCAACAUUCAUUAACUCAAAGAAGACAAUAAUAUAUAAUUUCUGUUGCGAAUGAACAUUAUCACUCUUUUUUAUUGUACUUAGAGAAUGCCUUUUAAGGAAUGUAAAUGGUUAUCUAUAUAGCAUCAUUCUCACUCUUUUUGUGAGACGCUCUAAAGUUAAAAGUAGCGCCAUAUUUAACCCCCUCACUAUAUCUCAUUAAUCCCUACUAUACAAUUAGUUAUAUUUAUUUUCAAAUUAUUUCAAAUUAUCUUUACUUAUCAAUAACGACAUUCAUUUUUAGCAUAGCAUCGAAGAAACAAAACAUAGAUCAAUAACAAAUUUGACACAAGUAAUACAAUUAUUUAAUUUACAUUACAAUAGAACAAUUUGCAAUCACAUAUCAGACCCAUCAGUAGGUGUGCGUUAGGAAAGAAAUCUUUGCAGCAACAAGAUAAUGGAAAUUGGUUGAGAAAUUACUUAGCACAAGCUUAUUUUAGGGCGAUGUUGAGUCAAACGCCAGUGAUGAAAAACUUAUUGAUGAAAUCUUACGUUUUGAUGGCUAUGACCAUAAUAUCAUUUUUGUGUCAACUGAUAAAUUACUAAAAUCAAUUUUCGCUUGAGUAUUACUUCUUAAAGUCAUGAUGCUAAUAUUGCAAUUGAAGAAUUAGUAUAGUUUUUUACGCACAAAAGCACAAAGGAGGGACGAGGUGUUGCAGCAGCAAUAUUUCGGCUUCCCAUGGCUGAUUUUAUUUCUUUUGUUGCUCCCAAUUCAAGUAUGUCCAGCUAAUUUUCUUAUACUAAGGUUAAAGAUGAAACCCUAUUCAAUGAAAUAAUUAUUAUUUUUUAUUUAUUUAAUUCCCAUAUAUGUUCUUUAAUGAUUAUGGUUUUUAUUUCACAUGAUUAAUUGGAUGUUAAUAAAAUCUUUUCAUCAAUUUUGUCAUGCAUUAUUGAUUGUUAAGAUUAAAAUUCGAUUAAUUCUAUACUUGGAUCUAUAAAGUUUAUACAUGAUUAUCUUUGAUUUUAUGUCUUUCAUUAAAUUGUUUACAUGGAGUGCUUAGGAAACUUUGACUCUUUGUUAUUCAAUAUGUUUACAUGAGAUUCUUAGAUGUCAUAUUAUUAAGCAGAAAAAGAACCUACAUUAGAUUUAAUUACUUGGGCUUAAUUGUUAUAUCCAUGAGAUGACAUAGAUUGAUUUCGAGUUGUCACUCUAAAAUUGGGGAUUAAUUAAUAAUUAGAUAAUUACUAGUUGAAUAGUGGUGGAUUCUGAAACCUUGGUAAUUCUUAUCUUAUUGAAUUCUCCUUUAUUUUAAUUGCUUCCUUAGUUUAAUUGGUUUAAUUUUCUUAAAAACUCAAUUUGCUCAACUAGGUUAGAAUUAAUAUUAAUUUUAGAUUUAAAUUAGACUUUUUAAUUUAUAACAAUCCCUGUGGGAUCGACCUCGUUACCACUAUUCUAUUUCUAGAUUCGUACGCUUGCGAGUAUAUUAAAAUUUUCACAACAAGUUUUUGGCGCCGUUGCCGGAGAUUGUGCUAGAAAGUCAAGUUUAAUCUAGGUUAAUUUGAUUUUUCCACUAGUUAUAAUUUAGGUUGUCUUUUAUUUUAUUUAUUCAAUUUUUAUUUUUAUUUUAUUUUAUUUUGAAUUCAUUCUUUAGUUGUUUAAUUUCGUUUAUUCUCAUUAUUGUUGGUUUAUUUUAUUUAUUUUAUUUUAUUUUCUUUCCUUGUCUGGUUAGUUUAUGAGUGUUUGGGAACGUGAUUCAACAAAUCGUUUGGUUAAAAGAGAAUAAAAAAUUGAUAGUAGUCAAGCUAGUUCUUUAGAAGUGAUGGAUGACCCAAAUAGAUUAUUGCCAAUACUUCCACCAGUGCAAGCAGAGAAAACCCUUAGAGAAUACUUUUCACCACUUGCAGCCAACCAACCAUCUUGUAUUGUGUUGCCACAAACUACAGCAACACACUUUGAACUUAAGCCCUCUGUCAUUCAACUUUUGCCAUCUUUCCAUGGGUUAGAGAGAGAGGAUCCAUAUUUGCACAUUAAGGAAUUUCUUGACAUAUGCUCUACAUUCCGUUUUCAAAAUUUUAAUGAUGAGUCAAUUAAGCUUCGUAUGUUCCCUUUCUCAUUAAAAGACAAAGCAAAAGCUUGGUUGAAUUCACUUCCUGCUGGAUCUAUUAGUACAUGGGAUGAAUUGAGUAAUAAGUUUCUCACCAAGUUUUUUCCUAUGUCUAAAACAAAUGCCCUUAGGAGAGAGAUAAGUGAUUUUUAUCAAAGAGAGGGUGAGCAAUUUUACGAGUGUUGGGAAAGAUUCAAUGAUUUACUCCUUAAGUGUCCCCACCAUGGUUUUGAAAAAUGGAGACUUAUACAAUGCUUUUAUAACGGUUUAACCAUGUCAAAUCGUCAUAUGGUAGAGUCUAUGAAUGGUGGGAGAUUUUUGAACUUACAUGAAGGGGCUGCAUGGGAUUUCUUUAAUUCACUUUAUGAGAAUUCUCAACAGUGGGAUUUUUCAAAUCAAAGAGAAAAAUCAUCUCAAGUUUCUAGAAAGGGGUUAUAUGAAGUUAAGGAUGAUUUUGAUGUGAAAUCCAUUCUAGCUACACUUUCUAGGAAAGUAGAUGCCUUAGCGCUGAACCAAUCAAUGAAUCAUCAUCCUAGUGUAGCUAAUGAGGUUUGUGCUCUUUGUUCUAACUUGUCUCAUACAGCACAGAAUUGUCCAUCAUUACCAGCCUAUCAAGAGGCUUAUUCUGAGCAGGUACAUGCCUUACAAGCAUAUGAGAAAACCCCCAAUAAUCCAUAUUCAUCCACAUAUAAUCCUAAUUGGAGGAAUCACCCGAAUGUUUCUUGGAAACAAAAUCAACCUUUGUCAAACCAAGGAGGACAACAGUUUAACAUGCCCAAUCAACAAUUUGUCCCUUCUAACCAAGUAUAUCCUCCUGCCCAACAACCUAUGUCUCAAUUUGUUGCACCCCAACAAAGAAAGCCUUCUUUAGAGGAUACACUUCAAAGUUUCAUUCAGUCAACCCAACAAGCUUUUCAGUCAAACACUCAAGCUAUUCUAAAGCUUGAACAUCAAUUGGGUCAAUUAGCAACUACUGUAGCGGAGAGAGAAAAAGAAAAAUUCCCAAGUCAACCAAUUCCUAAUCCCAAAGGAGUGCAUGAAGUUGGAUCGAGUUCAAGUCAUCAGCAUGAAGAAGCAAAAUCUGUUAUGACCUUGAGAAGAGGAAAAUUAUUUGACAACAAGGUGGAGGCUCAAACAAGAAAGACAUCUGUGCCUACUUCUUCAGAUCCAGUUCCAUCACAAGACUCAUCACCAAAUGAUCCAGAAGAGAGUGGCCCGCCAGCUUACAUUCCCAAGGCUCCUUUUCCUCAAAGGUUAACAAAGGUAAAGAAAGGGACUUCAACAGGUGAGAUUAUGGAAAUCUUCAAGCAGGUAAGUAUAAACAUCCCUUUACUUGAUGCUAUUAAGCAAGUUCCUUCUUAUGCCAAGUUUUUGAAAGAUUUAUGCACUAAAAAGAGAAAUUUGCAUGUCACUAAAAAGGCGUUUUUAACUGAACAAACUAGCAAUUUACUCCAAUGUAAAAUGCCACCAAAAUUUAAGGAUCCUGGUUCUCCUACUAUCUCAUGUGUUAUAGGGAACCAAUGUUUUGAUAAAGCAUUAUUGGAUUUGGGUGCUAGUGUUAAUCUCUUGCCUUAUUCUGUUUACAUGCAGCUUGGACUAGGUGAGUUAAAAUCAACUCCUAUUAUUUUGUAACUUGCUGAUAGGUCAAUGAAAAUACCUCGUGGUAUUAUAGAGGAUGUGUUAAUACAGAUUGACAAAUUUUAUUAUCCUGUUGAUUUUAUUAUUAUUGAUACUCAGCAUGUACAGGAUCCUAAGAAACACACCCCAGUUAUUUUAGGUCGUCCUUUCUUAGCUACAGCUGAUGCUCAUAUUAGUUGCAGGACUGGAAACAUGCAAUUGUCUUUUGGUAACAUGACCAUGGAAUUAAACAUUUUUAAUGUUCCUAAGCAGGCACAAGAAGAUGAUGAAGUUGUUGAAGUAGAUAUAAUAGAAGCAUCAAUUGAUGACUCACUUAUUUCUAACCACUGUGACAAUCCAUUAAUACCAUGCACAACUGACUCUGAUUUCUCUGUUGAUGUUGAUAGUGGUAUCGAAGAAGUUAAUGUUUUACUUGAUUCGACUCUUAUCAUAGAUAUAAUUAAGUGGAAAGAAAAGAUUGAGCCACUUCCUCCUGAAGAGAAAAUUGAACCAUUCAAGUUAGAGCUACUUCCUAAAAAAAUGCAACAUAGGUCACAUUCUGACAUGAAAAAUGUGGUAAGAUCUAAAGUACUUAAAUUAUUAGAUUUUUAUACUACUUCAGAUAACUCUCAGGAAAGUAUGGAACAGAAGAGAUCAAGGCCGUGCGAUAUUGAGAAGUUUCAUUACCAUCAUCCUUUUAUAGAUAAAAUGCUCCAGUGCUUAGUCAAUUAUGUUUUCUGGCAUUUUCUAUAUAAUUGCUUUGCUUUUCACCAAAUUCUUAUUGAUCCCGGUUGAUUUGUUGUUUACAUUAAUUAGUUAGUUAGUAGGAUUUUUUUUAUUUAUAUUUCUUCUAACGUUUUCUUUUAGUUGUCAUUUUGUUUUAAGCUUUCCCAACCCAUCCAGGUGUGUUCUCUCCAACUUUCUUUUUAUUAUUUAAGUUAUUAUUAUUAUUUUUUCUUUCUUUCAUUUGUUUGCAUGCAUAUCUUUUGUUUGUGAAACAUUGAGGACAAUGUUCCGAAUAAGUUUGGGGGUGGGAAUAGUGUGUGCUUUGUUUGUUAAAAAAAAAAAAAUCAAAAAUUCAAAAAAAAAUUGUGUUUUUUUGUUUUUACGUGAAAAGCCAAUGAUAAGAACUUGAUUGACAAUGAAUAUGGUUUUUAGAAAGGGUUGAAUAUUGUCUUAGUUUAUACUUGAUUCUUGCGUUAGUUCCUCUUGAUUGAGAUUCUUUAAACCAUGAGCACUAAUAUCAAUUCUUUCAUAAUUUUGACUUGAAAUUUGAGAUUAACGCAGCCUGAGUUGAGAAUUUUAGAUAGAGUAAAUGACUGUUUGUCUUUAUUCUUAUCUCCACAAUACAAAAUAGUAUGCACGGGCGCCAAAGUCAAAAAUAGCUACCUAUAACCCUUAAGAGUGAAGCUAUCCUUGAGUAAUUUGGGCCUAUGUACCACAAGUAUGUAGAGGAUAAUCUACCAUGAGAAGAAGGCUACUUUAAGGGGUAGAGUGAAAGCUCCUGACUAUGGUUAAAAAAAAAAAAAAGCAAAAAAAAAAAAAUCAAAAGAAGAUGCACAUAAAAGCCUGUGAAAAAAAAUAAAAAAUUGGAGAUCAAGAUGAUAAGAUUAGUUUGACCUACUCUGUUCUUUGUUUGAGGCGAAAACUGUUGAUGUUGAGGAUUUUGGGAAUGGAUUUGAUUGAAUUGGUUUCACACACACACUACAAGAAUCGAAAGAGAGAUGUGAUUGAUUAUUGAAUUAAAGUUAGAACUUUGCCAAUAUUUGAAAUUUUCUUUAAGCUAUAUAAUUUUUGCAAUCUUUGAGGCUAUUUUUCAUGUUUUAUUUAAUUUUUUAUUUAAUUUUUUAUUUUUUUAAUGAUGUUUGUGGGUAUCAUCACUGAAGCCCUCACGAGACUACAACUCGUCCACUAGGGCCGCAUAGGGGUUUAAAGGCUUGUUGCAUACGCUAAAUGCAAUCGCGAUUACCUGCGAAAGUGGUUUAGUUAGGAUUUACUUUUUGUUUCAUUGUUUUUAUUUUUUAUUUUUAGUUUUAGUUUUGCUCGAGGACUAGCAAAAUCUCAGUUUGGGGGUAUUUGAUGAGCAUAAUUUAUAUACAUAUUUUAAUAUACUUGUUGUGAAAAUUUUAAUAUACUCGCAAGCGUACGAAUCUAGAAAUAGAAUAGUGGUAACGAGGUCGAUCCCACAGGGAUUGUUAUAAAUUAAAAAGUCUAAUUUAAAUCUAAAAUUAAUAUUAAUUCUAACCUAGUUGAGCAAAUUGAGUUUUUAAGAAAAUUAAACCAAUUAAACUAAGGAAGCAAUUAAAAUAAAGGAGAAUUCAAUAAGAUAAGAAUUACCAAGGUUUCAGAAUCCACCACUAUUCAACUAGUAAUUAUUUAAUUAUUAAUUAAUCCCCAAUUUUAGAGUGACAACUCGAAAUCAAUCUAUGUCAUCUCAUGGAUAUAACAAUUAAGCCCAAGUAAUUAAAUCUAAUGUAGGUUCUUUUUCUGCUUAAUAAUAUGGCAUCUAAGAAUCUCAUGUAAACAUAUUGAAUAACAAAGAGUCAAAGUUUCCUAAGCACUCCAUGUAAACAAUUUAAUGAAAGACAUAAAAUCAAAGAUAAUCAUGUAUAAACUUUAUAGAUCCAAGCAUAGAAUUAAUCGAAUAUUAAUCUUAACAAUCAAUAAUGCAUGACAGAAUUGAUGAAAAGAUUUUAUUAACAUCCAAUUAAUCAUGUGAAAUAAAAACCAUAAUCAUUAAAGAACAUAUAUGGGAAUUAAAUAAAUAAAAAAUAAUAAUUAUUUCAUUGAAUAGGGUUUCAUCUUUAACCUUAGUAUAAGAAAAUUAGCUGGACAUACUUGAAUUGGGAGCAACAAAAGAAAUAAAAUCAGCCAUGGGAAGCCGAAAUAUUGCUGUUGCAACUGCUCUCUUCCAGCCUUUUUCUCCUCCUCUGGCGGCCCUUUCAUUCAAAAGCCAAAACUCUAUUUUAUAAUGCUUAGCCACCGAAUCCUCUUUGUCUACUAAUUAAAAUCCUUUUCCAAUUAUGAAACAAAGCUUCCAUAAUAACGCCAGCCAUUAAUUCCACUUUUGAAAGUCAAGUGUGGGCCCCAUUUAAAUUGCUUUCCCCUUUUGCAAUGCUAUGGACGUGCAACUCAAUUGGAGAAUUGAAAUUCUUUUUCAAUACAAAUUGCUCUUGGCUCUUAACUCUAUCACAACUUCAACUAAUAUUUCCCCAAAUUAUUAUUCUUUUUGCACUUUUUAUUUCCAAUCUCCAAUUAAUUCCCUAUUCAAUAAAACAAUUCAAUUAAUUAAAAAUAACAAAUAAAAUUAACUAGCAAAUAUACAAUAAAGGGUAAAAUAUGUAUAUAAAUUAUGCUCAUCAGGUGUCAUGAUAGCCUCACUCCAUUCUAUUCAUCCAAAAGGGUAAUUUUCAAUUUUAUCCCCUGAGGUUUAGGGUCCCUUCACUUAGAUAGAAUGUAUAAGGUACCUUCAUUUUACACCCCUACCCUUAGUAUAAAGUUGAUUAUAUAUUUAGUAUGUGAGGGCAUAUAAAUAAUUGCAUGCUAAAUUGCUUAAAUACUAAAACCAUUUUGAAUUUUUGCAUUUUGGAAACUGUCUAAAGCAUCAUAAUGCCCGCUGGGUAACAACCGAAGCAUGAUGAUGUCCAACAGUCUUUACACCAAAAUAAAAACAAUGAUAUGGGUAACUUUCAUCUUCACAAAUCAAAAACACAUAUUCAAAUCACCAUUACAAUUCUUAAGAAAUGCAUUGAGGAAAUUCGUUGUAGGAAUUAAAUAUACCUAAAAAAUAGGAUAUUUAAUCAAAUAUACCACAUGCUUGAUAAUUAUGUGGAUAUGUUAUUUUGUGUGAUGUAUUGUCUAAAAUGUCUUUAAAGAAAAAUAUAAAGUACACACACAAAUCACCUCCAACACACACCCUUUUACUUCCACACUAUUUCACUCUUCAUUCAAUUUUACUCUGGUAGUGUCGUUAAGGUGCACCAAAUUUAAAACCUUACCACUAAUAUAAAUAAUUAGUACAAAGCGAGUAAGGAUCGAUCCCACAGAGACUAUGCUAGUUAUAUUUAUUUAUCAACUCUAAAGCAAGAUUUAAAAUAAAAUAAUAGUAGUAAUAAUAGAAAUUAAUCUAACUAAAGAAAAUGCCAAUUAUAAAUAAAAAGGGGGUUUAUGAAUUUUUAACUAAAUAGUAAGAAAUAAAGAAAUUAAAACUACGAACAAGAAUUUAAUAAAAACUCUAGUUAAAGGAAAAAGAAAUAAUGAUGAUGAAAACUUUGGUUAAAGGAUCAUUCGCCACCACCAAACAUGCACAUAAUAUAUUAAUUUUAUCAUCAAUUUAUAUUGAAACUAUCAACCGUAGACAACAAUAAGCUCUGUUAGUCUCAAUCUUUCCUUAGUGUGUCGUUAGGCAAAACAAGCUCUUCACCUAAUCUCUAACCAUUAAAUAAUUUAAAACAAGCUCUUUAAAUUUAAGAUAAUGGAAGCAUUAAACAAAGAAAUAUAUUAGGUUGAUCUAGGCAAUAAACACACAAGCUCGGAUUAUUUAACCUAGAUUAUGUUCUCCAAUUGAAAUCACUAAUUCCAACCUGCUACCAAUGAUUAAAAUAUCAAGACAAUUACGGAUCAAGAAUUUUAAUCUAGCAAUAGAAUUUAUUUAAGUCCUAUCUAAUUGGCCACUCAAAUAAAACAAUAAUAAACCAUGAACAUUAAUUAUAGAAGAACAUAAACAAUCUCAAUUAAAUAAAUUGAAUGAUAGAAUUUAAAUUUAAUUGCAUAGCAUGUUUAGGGUUUUGAUUUCACCCUCAACCAAAUAAAAAUUUAGCCUAACAUAAUUGAAUUGGGAAGAAGAGAAUUGACAAAACCAAUCAUGGAGAUUAAUUCAAGCGGCUGCUGAUUUUUCUCUUCUCCUUGCGCCUGUUGAAUUUUUUUCUCUGCCCGAAUUGCGUCUGCACCCCCCUCUCGCUCUCUGGCAGCUCUCCUUUUAUAAUGCUAGUUGACCGAAUUCUUCUCCAACAAGUCUAAAGAAAUCCUUUUUCAAUUCUAAUUGAAAUCAUUUUUCAAUUCUAAUUGAAAUCCUUUUCCAAUUUGAACUUUUAUUCCUUUUCAAUUUGAACUUCUUCAUGUCCUUUUUAUCCACAAUCUCCAAUUAAUUCCCUAUUCAAUAAAAUAAUACAAUUAAUUAAAAAUAAUAAAUAAAAAUAACUAGCAAAUAUAUAAUAAAGGGUAAAAUAUGUAUAUUAAUUAAUUUCCUAUUCAAUUAAAAAUUAACUAAAAUAACUAGAAUGUUUCAGAUCAAAACAAGAAAAAGAUGAAGAAAUUAAUAACAAAAUAUAUGAAAAAUAUGCACUUAUCAUACUCCACACAAGAAAAAGUCACUCCACACUCUCAAAAUCACUUCUGAAUAACCAAUGUAUUGAGAUUUUGGUUUGUAAUUAGGUGCAUUAUUCAUUCAAUGAAUAAGGUAAUUAAACUUUAUAUUAAUUUUGUGUUAUUUAUUCAUUUUCUUAACAUUAUAUUAUUUUUAGGUUUUGUUUGAUUUGUGAUCAACAAUAAAACAACUCACAUUUUCAUUACAUUUGCAUCAUAUCGAUGUCUUGUAAUGGAUUUUCUAACUAUAUUUGUUGAAAUCUCAUUUUGUUCUCAAAAUUUUGUUUUGCACAUGAUUUACACAACAACAAUCGUGUAUGUAUGAAUUUACAUGAUUACGGCCGUACAAGUGUGCAAAAUGUUCCAACUGUUAUGACAAUUUGCUUACCUUUUAUAAUGAGUGUAUUCAAUGUGGUCUUGUGCUUGGUGAUGAAAGAAUGCAAAUCAAGGUUUAGGUAUUCAAAGACAAGAAACACAUCUGUCCCACUCCUCUAUCUAGUAACCUACAUCCAAAUUGUACAAAAAUUCAGGCAAAAAGGUUGCUAGAAUCUUAGUAAGAUCUAUUCAGGCAGUCUUCCAAUUAUUAAGCAUAUAUUUUAGAAUAAAAUCAAACUUAACAAGGUAUAACUGUUAAGUUUAGAUGUGGUAAAUGACCUUUAAUUUGGCCAAUUUCCAUUCAAGACAGUAGAUUUGUGGUGCUAGAACAAGCAGCAGCAAAAGCGUGAAGUAACAACAAUAGAAGCGUUGUGAGUGUUGGCCUAAUCUAAUAGCCCAUUGUUGAAUACUGAAGAAUGCAUAUUUAUACAGAAAAAAAUUAUAAUUUUAUGCUCCAAGUCUCACUAAUAUUUUCACUUUCACGUGUUAAAAUACUCUAAGCUUUUAUUAUGUGUGUUUUAUUAUAAUUUAAGUAUUUUAUGUAUUUCAGAGAUAUUUUGGCUAUUUCACAACUAACGAGAAGUUAGACAGCAAAACAUAUGGCAUUCUUAAACUUGGAAUGGUCGAAAACCUCAGGAAGAGUAUAAAAGGGUAUUCAGUACUAUUCACGUAUACGAUACUAUUCAUAUAUACAGCAUUAUUCAUAAGUAUGGUACUGUUCACAUAUACUAUACGAUGAUGUGGUAUUGACAUUUGAUGUGGCAGUAUCCUAUUGGCCAAUUGAUAUGGCAUUGACUGAUUAUGUGGCGUUGACUGAUGAUGUAACAGAAUGCUAUUAGACCAAAAAAUUGAUGUGACAUUGACCGAUAAUGUGGCAGCAUCUUAUUAGACCAAAAUGUUGUUGUCGUGUUGACUGGUGAUGUGUUUCAACCAAUCAAAGCUUGCCACGUGACGUAAUCCUGAGCGUUCGAAUUAUUUUUAUCCAAUGGCCAUGGUUUAUCCAUCAUAUCUAUAAAUAGAGGGCUCCUCCCCUCCUAAUUUGAUACCCCUGAAUAUAUUUUUAGCUCCAUUUUCUGUAAUUCUCUCUUCAUCUUGUAAUUUCUACGUAUUUGAAUAAAAUUACUAUUUUACCCAGAGUUCAAUUAUGAGUGAUUAGUUUAGUUUCGAGCUUGGGUUGAAGAUGAAGUCUCAACAUGAUCUAUGAGUUUAAUUAGGUAAGUUUAUUUUCUUUUCUUAUCUAAUUUAUGUGGUUGUUUUGAUCCAUUGUCAACAUAUAGUGUAUUAUGUCUAGAUUUUGGACAAUAUACCGGUUCCCUAAUGAAAAAUCGUUACUACAAUGAGCAUUUAGCACCAUAUUAAUUAGAGAGAAAAUUUUUCUUUAGUAUUUUGUGGGUUGUCUUAAUUCAAUGUCGAUAAAGAAUGUAUCUAAGUUAUUUAAUGAAUGAUCUUGCCACGUUGUCGAGGAUUACUAUCGUAUGGGACAACGUGUUCUUGACACCACACUUAGUGGAAGAUCAUUACCUCUGGCACUCUGAGUGCUUGAUACCAUAUUUAUUAGAGUAAGGAUUAUGAGGAGUGGAAAUGCCCCCCUCAUGAAUUAAUCGGAACUAAAAUGAAAAUAUUAAGCUCAUGGUGAAUGUUGAGUGUGAAUCUAGAGACUCAAGCGUUUUAUUUGCAUUGGUUUCAUAUUUAAUUCAUUCCCGCCAUUUUAAUUUCAAUCUUAAGAUUAAAAAAUAAAAAAAAAAAUUCACUUCAAACCAACUUACAUUUACACCAAAAAAUUAACCAUUCGCAUAAUUAAAUCUACCUCCUCGUGAGAUCGACAUUCGUCAUUAAAAAAUUAUUCUACAAUAGAUUCAUGUGCUUGCGAGUACAACAAAAUUUGCACAACAUCCAUUAGAGUGACUACACUGGAGACCCUAAUGAAUGACACUUCACUCUUUUUCUCCUAUUUCGACCGAAUUCAAUCUUGAAGCAGGUUUGAAUUAGAGGAAACUACGUAUUGUGUAUGCUAGUCGUGAAUGAUAAAUUGGGUGUUGUUCAUGCGACCUGCUUGUGAAUGAAUUUGAAGAAUUAGGUUUUCAAUUAGGGUAAUUCGAUAAUAUCACAUGGAAAAAGGCAUAUAUGAGGAAUUUUGAAGUGUAGGUAGAUAAAUACCAUAUUUUUUAGGUAUGGUGGGGACAAAUUCCUAAUUCAUUAGUGUGACCAAUAAGAUGUCAGGGAAACAAUCAGAAUUGACCAUUAGGGUUGGCAAAAUACAGGCUUGGGCCAAGCUUUUCCAAGCCCAGGCCUAAGCCCAUAUUAUUUAUAACAAGCCUAAGCCCUUCAAAAGCCCAUCCAACUAGUGUUAAGUUAGGCCUAGGCUUUUGCAUUAGAUAUAAAAUAAUUUUUUGAUAAAAAAAUAUUUAAAUAAAUAAUAUGUAUCCAAUACAUAAUAGAAUAAUAGUUUAAUAAACAAAAUAUUAGUAACACAAUUUAAUAAAUCACAAAUACUAAUAUAAAAAAUAUAUUAAUUUAAAAUUUUGAGUUUUUCUUUUUUUAUUAAAUUAAAUUUAUUUUUUAUUUAUAAAAAAAAAAGCCCAUGCUAAGCAUGAACUUUUUUCCUAAACCCUUACCCAAGCUCAAUCUGUGCCGGAUUUAUAUUUUUUUGUCCCAUAUCCAUGCCCAACCCAUGUGGGCCGGGCUUCAGACCCCUAGGCCUAGGCUGAGCUGGGGUUUUUUGCCAAUUCUAUCGACUACUACAGAAACUGAUGUAAGAGUUCGAAAUAAUUCAAUGGCUAUCAGCAAAUACCGGCGAUGGCUAAGAAUUGACCAACUCGCAAUGAAGCCGCAUGCCAUGUAACCCUUGUUUGUUGUUGUUUUUUUUUUAAAAUUUUACGGUGUUAAGAUGAGCUAAAAUUGAAGUUGAGGUUGUAUAAUACUACUUAUAUGAGUCUGCAGAGUUGAGGCAUGUGCGUCUUUUCUUCAAAUCAUCAAAAUGAAUGACAAUAUUUGUUAUUUUAGUUGACUAUUGUUUCGUUAGAUAAUGAUUUUGGAGGCUGAUUACUACUAGAAUUAAGAACUUGGCAUGACUAUGUUAAGAUGGGUUAUACGCUUUGUUCUUUAAGAUAUGAAUAUUCAUGACAUAAACAUCUGUUUGGUUGGUUAACACCUUGUUGAAGAAGGAUAUUUGAGACAAGAUUUAGAGCAAUAACAUGGAAAUUGCAUGGGUUUAUUUAAACUUGUAAACGGUGCACCCAAUGUUAUGUUUUUAUAAGUGAUGUUGGUCUGUGGGUGGAACUGAGAGUUUGAGCUUUAUUUUAUAAACUUAAUGAAGUAGAACUAAUGUUUAAAUUGUCUUUAAAAAUGAUUUUUGCUUUCAUUUUGAAGAUGACAAUGCUACUAUUGAAUGCGUGACAAUUAAGUUUUGUUUAUAAAUGGUGCUUAAGUGAGUUGUUAGGUUGACUAAGUAAUCACUAUGAAGGGUAUAUUCAUCGUUUGAGUCUAGAGUUGUUUGGAUUUAUUUUAGGUUAUAAAUUAUACACCUAAUGUUCUCUUUUUGUGAGUAGCUGAUCAUUGUGCAGAGUGCUAAGCUUAGUAAUGUUGGUCAUUGCUGGGAUUUGGAGAUUGAGUUUUAUUUUUAUAAACUAAAUUAAGUAAAACUAGUACUUAUAUUGUCUUUGAUUCUUUGUCUUUACUUAAGCUGCCUACAUCCAUCCUCCUCUGAUUCAUGCCAACUUUUAUCCUUUUGUCUUGUAUAGCUGAGCAUAGUUGCUGCAUACUUAAAUGAACAAUCUUUUACCUUUUGAUCUCAAUUUGGGUACCUACUUCUUUACUAAGCACUACAAAAAAUGCCCAAACAGAAGAAAAAAGAGUAAAACAAAACCCAACAAGUUAAUCAUGUCUUUAUUUGACUUUAUAUCAAACUGAUAACAUGCAUGAGGUAGAUUUUAUUCAAAAUUUUAGAUAUCUAGUUAGGAUGUUAGUAUCCCAGUCUCAUCAUUAUUGCUUGUGGUUAACAUGCCUUUUAUAGAAGUAAGUAUUCAAAAUUGUUAGAAAGUGAAUGGCAGUGGCACUUCAAAAGUAGCUAUAGUGACUAUUCUCUGAGUUGUCUACGCCUAGCUUCUUAGUUUUCUCCAAGGAUAAGAAUAUGCUUUCUAGCUUUAUUUUGUAUUCUUUACUCACAUCUUCGUUUAUUAUGUUUUUGCAGGAACAUAAGAUGCAUCUUGGAAAUAAAGCCAAAUUUCACCUUGAAGGCACUUAAUCUUUCUAGAGAUUAUCAUGAGACAAUCUACUACUGGCAAGUACCGUGUGACCACCAAUCGACAACAUAAUAAUUGAACUUCACUGGCUUGAAAUUUUCCUUUUAUGGGCAUGAUCUCUCCUUUUUGAGUUUGAAUGUUUCUUUUGUCAAAAAAACAACUCCUCCCGAUCUUAUUAAUGCUUCAUUUACUGAAUUAGAAGUUCACUAUUUGUAAUACAAAUUUACUUGAACUGGUAUAUUUUGCUUUUGAGAUGAACCAAAUAAGCUCUCUAACGGUACGCCUAGUGAUAAAUUUUUGCAACAUUUGCGUCCAAGAUCAUGAGUAUUUAUAAGGUUUUCCUUAUAACAACAUUUGGUUGAAGACUACAUCACAUUUGUCAGAGAAGUUAGUUUCAUUCUACUUGAUUUUAGUGUUCAUCAGCCUCUUUUAAAUGUCCUAUGAAAAGUUCUUUCUCAUCUUUGUCGAUAGACUAAUUUUGUUCAACUAAGAUGUUGAGGGCUCUUUAUAUUUAUGUCUUUUUGAUUUAUGAUUGCAUUUGACAAAUAAAUAGACUAACCACACUACUUCCCUCAAUAAAUCCAAUACUAAAAUUUGAAUUCUAUUUAAAUUUUAUAUAACCUACUUAAUAUUCAAAUAUAGCCUUUUUUGUCUUAAACUAAUUUUAGUAAUAACUUUAAUUUUUUUUAAGAAUUGAGCAUUUUAUUAUGAUUUGGCAUCAAAUUCGUUAAUGAUCUAGUGCCAGUACAUGUCUAAAAUAUUGUUUGCAUAUUACUGACGCAAGGGUAUUUUAGUCAUUUAUUCAAUCAAUAAGCAGUCGACUAGAAUUUAUACUAACGGUAGGGGUGCAGAGUAGCGAUACCCUUAUACAAUCUAUUCAAGUGAAGGGAUCCCAAACCUCAAGGGAAUGAAACUGAAAAUUAUCCUCAUCCAAAAUCUCACAUUCAAUUUUGAAAUCGAAUUACAUAGUUCAAAUAUGCCAACUGCCAAAGGGUAUUCGUUAUUUUCAUCUCCAAUCCAAACACAAUUCUUAUUUAUUUUUCCCCUUAAAUAAUUUUCUUUUCAUUCCCCCCCUUUUAAGCUUUAAAAUUGGUCUACACUUUAUAAUUCUGGGACCACGUUUCUCUAGACGUUGAAAUAAGAAAUACUUUAUAAAGUAAUUUUGAAAACAAUUGAAAAAUUGGGUGUUGAUGAGAUAAUUUAAAGAGAUCAUAAAUGACUACUCAAAGUUAAAAUUUACUUUGUUGCCCAAACCACAAAAAUUUAGAAACAAAGAGUUAAUGGGUUAAAUUUAGAUAUGGCAAUGAUAACCGCAAGCUGGAAAACCCGCCAAAACCUGUCCGCUGUGGAUAAUUUUGUAGGUUGCGAACGUGUUUGUUAUUAUAAAUUGAAACCCACACUAGGUUGCCGGAGGAUUUAAUAUUAGUCAAAUAUCCAGUAUAUACUUGCAUAGAUAUCCGCUAACGCUCAACUUUUUUAAAAAAAAUAUCUUUAAUUUAAUUUUAAUUGAAAAAUAUUUAAAUCUAAAAAUAUAUAAAGUAAAUAAUGUAAAGUGCAAAUGUGUAUGCAAGUUGCAACGUGUGUAAGUCCUAACAGGCUUUAAUUUAAUGCAUGAAUUAUUAUAUACUUAUUAUAAUUUUGUAUGGACUAUUUUUCUUUAAAUUAAUGUAUGGAUUAUUUCAUUAUUAUAAUUUUAUUCUUUGGAUUAGUAUUUAAAAAGUAUUAUUCUUUAGAAAACAUUCAUUUUAAUUAUUAUUGUAGGAAUUGUGUUGGAUGAGUGCUAAUGGUGGUGAAUGAAAUGAAGAGUUCUUUUGGAGCUUGUGUUGAAUGAUAAUUGUUAUUUUAAAUACUAGUUUAUGGUUUUUUAUGAAUUUGUGUAAAAAUUUGAGAAUUUGAGUUGGAUUGACGUUGAAAUUUUAAUUUUCCAUUUAUAUUGGUUAAAUUUAGAAUUGAGUAUGUUAUGUGAAAUUUAUAUUAGUAUUAUACAUUUAUAUAUUGAACAUUUGUGAUUUUAAAUGUGGAAACCCGUAAAAAAUCUGCCAAAUACCGUUGCGGUUUGGUAAUUGUCAAAACCCACAGAUGAUGGAUUUUCUUAAAAAAAUAAAACCUGUAGCGGGUUGCGGGUGGGUUUGGUAAUUUAAAUUUUAUGCAAAUUUAGAUUUGAUAAUAACAAACCUACUGCGGGCAGUAUCCAUUGCCAUCCUUAGUUAAAUUUACUUUUGCAGUCGCUAUUGUAUUUAAUCUUUUUUAAUAAAAAGAUAGGGCUAUUUAACACUAUUUUUUAUACAAUCAACCCCAUUUUUAAGAUCGCAUUGUAUAACUUAAUUUUACAAUGUAUCAUCAAGUGGUUCCCAGUUUACUCUUGAGAAGUUAUAUUUCAAAACCCAGAUGAGAAAAUCUAAUAACACAAAACUAAAAUCCUUCUCCAUUACACAAAUCCAGCAGGUUAUUCUUUAGGAAUAUAUUUUCAUGUUGGCCUCAAACAAAGCCAACAUUGCAAGCAAAUUCAAAUGACAAUUUUUUUCAUAGCGAAACUGCCAAGUCAUCCGUUACGUGCUUUUGUUUUCUACACCUAAUCACCUAUGGUGAAAGUCUGAAAAAGGACCAUAAGAUAAUUAUAUAAAGAAUUCAUUUUGGUAAUUUUCACGAGAUUAUUAUUAUUAUUAUUAUUAUUAUUUAUGCAUGAGAUAAACGUUUAAAUUAAAAAAAAAUUGAUAUGUAGGGUGUGAAAUAAAAGGAGGAAGCUAAGUAGAGCCACUCUAACCCAAAUCACAAAAUUUAACUCUUUUAACUAAGGUCAUCCCAUUAAGUUUAGUAAAAUAAUUCUUAGGCAAUUCCUCAAUUAUUAUUAUUAUUGUUGUGGUUGUUGUUUUAAGUAUACCAUUUUCAGCCAAAUCAAUAAUAAGGUUUUGGGGUUAAAAUCAAUAAUAAGGUUUUGGGGUUUUUUGGAAUUUUGUUGCACACAAGACUAAUAGAAAGAAAUUUUUUUAAAAAAUUAAUAAAUAUUUAUUAAUAGAAAGAAAAUUGAAAUUAUCUAGUGUUGAAUCUGUUUUCCCCUUCUACGUAAUGCUAAGAUGAUUACAGCACAACAUCAGAUAUAUGGAUGGGAGACUUCCACAUUCCAAGACCAAAAUUUCGUUAACUUCACUUAUUUAUUAAAAUGAUUAAAAAUAUUAUUUUAUUAAAAUAAUUAAAAAUAUUAUGAGUCAUGAUAGAACCACAACUAUUUUAUACAAAUAAACGUGCACAAACUGAUGUGGCAUGAGGAGAUUGAUUGUAUAAAACCAUCAUGGAUUCACAUAAUUAAAAAAAUUAUUGUUAUCAUUUUUCAACCAAUCUUUUCAUACCACAUCAAUUUGUAUACAAAAAUUUAUAUACAAUUAUUUGUGACUAUCAUUAUUGAGAAAUUUAUAGUGAUUUAUGGUGGAAAAUCAUGUUGGUAUAUAAACUUACUUAAUAACAUGACUAUUUUAAAGGCUGAAAUGAUAAAUUUACAUUAUACAUUUAAUAAAUUAUGAUCCACGAAUCACAUGCUAGCUACAAGAAUUAGAUAAUCAAUUCAUGGAAUUUAUUGUAGACAAAUAUUCAAGAAGAGAUUCGAGAAGAGAGAGCAUAAUAUAUAUCAACGUAAUUAAUUUUAAACAUUGGCACACAACAGAUUUUAUUUAUUUAUUUUAUUUUUAGGAAAACGAGGUACAUGUAAAUAAACAAAUAAAAUCUCUUGAAUAUCCCAAGAGAUUUUAUAACAGUACCCAUCAUUUUAUUUAUUUAAACAUAAUAUAAAAAAAGUGACACUUCAUGCACUUAACCAGUGUGGUUGGAAUUUCUUCCAUAUUGAGGAGGAAUAAGAAGAUCAAGACUUUCAUUCACAAUCUCAUCAUCAACGAUACUGCCACAGGGUGGAAAUUGGAGACCCUCCAACCAAUCAUUCUUACCUGAAAAAAAUAAAUAUAUAUAUUAAAAAAUUACUCAUAAAUGCGUAUAUUAGAAUAAGAAUUUUAACUGAUAUUAAACUGAAAUUGGCUCAAAAACCUUCGCAAAGAGAUUCCAUAUUCUUCAAAGCUUCUAGUGAACCGUAAUGCAAAGUAUAAGAGCUGCUUCUGGGAGUUCUUGUUGGCUUCUGGUUUGAGAGUAUAUAUACACAUACACACACACACAUUCACACAAGUAGCUGACGUGUGCGUGAUUGGGGCGUAGUUAAUGCAUGCAAUGUUAAUAGAUAAGGAGGGUCAAAUGGUGCAAUUAAUUAAUCAAUUGUAGAUGAUAAGAUAUUGAAUGGAGGCUAUAACUUAAUUGCAUAGUUCCCUUGGCUUGCUAAUAAACUAAUAACCUUAGAUAAGAAGAUGAUAUUAAAUGAUAUAAAGUUUGUCGGCUAUAAUUUAAUUACAAGACAAGCUAAUAUAUAGCAAUGAACACAGUAUUUUCUUUCACAAUAGAAUGAUGAUAUGUUGUAAUUCUUACAGAAAGGUUAAUUUAAUAUACAGGACGAAGUCGUGAUAUAUAAGAGGCGUAUAUAUAACCUAAAAUACAAAUAAAGCAUAUCUUAUCAAAUGAAGAUAUAGGACCGUAACAAAUUAAGUAAUAAUUAAUUUUCUUAGAUAUAGAUAUGACUUCACGUAAUCAAGUUAUUGGACAAAGUCAUAAGAGGUAGUGCAUGACCUACCACGUAAAUUAACCUUAUCAUUUUAAUUUUAUCAAAUGAAUAUAUUGGCCAAUAAUGAUAAUUAAUGUAUGACCUAUCUAUCUCGUAAGCCAUAUGUAUGAACAAAUGAAGAUAUGAUAUUAAGCUAGCUAAAAACUAUAUCCUUUAUAUAAUAGCAAUUGGGUCCGGUUCAAGAAACACAAAUAUAUAAAUUUUAAGUCUUUAGAUUUAAACAAAAUAAACGGCUCAGAUCUAAUGGAUUAGAUGAUAUUACAUAUCAAUUUCAACACAUUAAUUGAUGCUAUCACCUUUAAUUUUCUUUACCUCCUCUCCUCCUCAUCAAAGUUCUUCUUUUGAUUUAUUUCAUCUAUUGUUUUACCUCUCCUUUUUUACAACUUUGUUUCUUCUCUAUUUUUUUCCUCUCUUUUUUUUUUAUAAUUUCAUAGUUUGUUUCCUUAAAAAAUUAUAUAUACUUAUUCUUUUUUCUUUUCAUUAAAUCAAACUAUUCAAAUAUUAUUGCUUUGUUGUUAUUCUUUUAUUGAAUAUACGUAUCAAGUGAUUUGUCAGUAUAUAUAUUGUAUUUACUUCUUUACAUGGACCAGCAUUCAUAAAUAUUAAUUUAUAGGCCAGUUCUGGUAAUAAAAAGUCCUGGAUCUACCCUAAUAGUGUCCUAAACUCCAGGUGUAUAUCAUUAUUAGUUUUCUUUAUUUAAAAUAAAAUCAAAUAAAAAUUCAAAUUUAUAUAAAAAAAGGUUUUUUAAUAGAAAACUCAACAUUCAUUAACUCAAAGAAGAGGGCAAUUAAGUAUACAAUUUUUGUUGGGAAUGAACAUUAUCACUCUUUUCGAAUGUAACUUAAAGAAUGCCUUUUAAAGAAUGUAAAUGAGUAUCUAUAUAGCACCAUUCUAAAGUUUAAUUUUUGUGAAAUGCUCUAAAGUUAAGAGUGAUGAUAUUUGACCUCCUUACUUUGCCUUAUUAACUCCUACGAUUCAAUUAGUUAUAUUAUUUUCAAAAUUAUCUUUACUUACAAAAAACGAUAUUCAAUUUUUAUUUCUAGCAAAGCAUUUAUUGGAGAAACAAAACAUAGAUCAAGAUUCAAUUUGACCAAAUAAUACAAUUAAUUAAUUGAUUGAUAAAUUACUUAGUGUGAGUAGGUGUGCAUUAGGAAAAAAAUCUUCACAGCAACAAGAUAAAGGCUAUUGAUUGAAAAAUUACUUAGCACAAGCUCGUUGUAGGGCGACUUUGAGUAAAACGCCAAUGAUGAGAAACUAAUUGAUGAAAUCUUACGUUUUAGUGGCCAUGACUAUAUUAUCAUUUUUGUGUCAACUGAUAAAUUAUUGUAAUUAAUUUUCACUUGAGUAUUACUUUGAUGCUAAUAUUGCACUUAACAUAUUAGUAAAGUUUUUUUACGCACAAAAUCACAAGGGAGGGGUUGGGUGACAUAAUAGCCACACUCCAUUCUUUUUUUUUUCUUUGGUAUAUUAAAUCAUUUGGUAUCCGGAUGACACAUUGAGCCCCAACUAAUUCAGAUUCCAACCAAGUAUGAUCACUAGGGCUGCAAAAUUCUCCCAACAAGUAUUUAACGCACCUGUAUUUUCAAACCUCGAAUUGAAGACUUUGGUUAAAUUAGAACAGCCAUAUUCUAGCUGACCUAUGUACUUGUUGGUGCCACACUCCAUUCUAUUCAUCUAAAACCUCACAUUCAAUUUUAAAAUCGAAAUACACAGUUCAAACAUGCCUACUGCCAAUGGGUAUUUGUUAUUUCCAUCUCCAAUUCAAACACAAUUCUUAUUUAUUUUUCCUCUUAAAUAAUUUUCUUUUCAUUCUUCCCCUUUUUUACGCUUUAAAAUUGGUAUACACUUGUUGAUUCUAGAACCAAGUUUCUCCAGACUUUGGGAUAAGUAAAGGUAAUUUUAAAAAUAAUUGAAAAAUAGGGAUUGAUGAGAGAAUCUAACGAGAUCAAGUGUGAUCGCUCAAAGUUAAAUUUACUUUAUUGCCCGAACCACAAAAAUUUAGAAGCAAAGAGUGAAUAUGUUAAAUUUACUUUGGUGGGCUCUUUUUAGAUUUGGGUUUGAGUUGGUUCGUAUUUAAUCUUUUUUAAUAAAAAGAGUAGGCUGUUUAACCCUAUUUUUUUAUCCAAUCAGCCCCAUUUUUAAGAACGCACUAUGUAAAUUAAUAUUUUCAGUGUAACAUCAAGUGGUUCUCAGUUUACUCUUGAGAAGUUAUAUUUCAAAACCCAGAUGAGAAAAUCUAAUGCCACAAAACUCAAAUCCAAAAUCUCAUGCCACAAAACUAAAAUCCUUCUCCAUUAUAUAAAUCCAUCAGGUCAUUCUUUAGCAAUUCAAUUUCAUAUUGUCUUCAGACAAAGCGAACAAUUCAAGCAAAUUCAAAUGACAAAUUUUUCAUAGCAAAUCUGCCAUGUCAUCCGUUACAUGCUCUUGUUUUUUUUACACCUAAUCACCUAUGGUGAAAGUCUGAAAGAGGACCAUAAGAUAAUUAUAUGAAGAAUGCAUUUUGGUAACUUUUAUGAGAUAAUUUUUUUUUUCUGAUACAUGUGAUAAACGUUUAAAUUAAAUAAAAUUGAUAUGUAGGUUGUGAAAUAGAAGGAGGAAGCUAAGUAGUGACACUCUAACCCAAAUCACAUAAAAUUUCACUCUUUUAACUAAGGUCCUCCCAUUAAGUUUAGUAAAAUAAGUCUUAGGCACUUCUUCUUCUUCUUCUUCUUAUUAAUUAAAAAACUUUAUGAGUAAUGAUAGAAUCACAACCAUCUUGUAAAUAAGUGUGUACAAACUAUGUGGCAUGAGGAGAUUAGUGGUAUAAGACCAUCAUGGGUCCACAUAAUUAAAAAAAUAAAUUAAAAAAAUUUAUGAGUAAUGAUAGAACCACAACCAUCUUGUAAAUAAGUGUGUACAAACUAUGUGGCAUGAAGAGAUUAGUGGUAUAAGACCAUCAUGGGGUCCACAUAAUUAAAAAAAUAAUUACUAUAAUUUUUCAGCCAAUCUCUCAUGCCAUGUCGAUUUGUACACAAUAAUUUAUACAAUUUUUUUUUGUGACUAUCAUUAUUGAAAAAUUUAUAGUGAUUAUGGUUGAAAAUCAUGUUGGUAUAUAAACUUACUAAAUAACAUGACUAUUUUAAUGGCUGAAAUGAUAAAUUUACAUCACACAUUUAUUAAAUUAUGAUCCACACAUCACAUGCUAGCGACAAGAAUUAGAUAACCAAUUUGUUGAGCUUAUUGCAGAAAAAUAUUCAAGAAGAGAGAGCAUAAUAUAGUUCAACCUAAUUAAUUUUAACACAUUGACACAUAAUAAUUUUUAUUUAUUUAUUUAUUUUCUUAAGAAAACACGGUACGUGUAAAUUAACAAAUAAAAUCUCUUGAAUAUCUCAAGAGAUCUUAUAACAGUACCCAUCAUUUUAUUUAAUUAAACAUAACAUAAAAAAGUGACACUUCAUGCACUUAACCAGUGUGGUUGGGAUUUCUCCCGUACUGAGGAGUAACAAGAAGAUCAAGAUUUUCAUUCAUAAUCUCGUCAUCAACGAUACUGCCACAUGGCGGAAAUUGAAGACCCUCCAACCAAUUAUUCUUGCCUGAAAAAAAAUUAUAUAUAUUAGAAAACUUACUCACAAAAGCAUAUGUUAAAAUAAGAAUUAUAAAUUAUAUUCAACUGAAAUUGGCUCAAAAACCUGUGCAUAGAGUUUCCAUAUUCUUCAGAGCUUCUAGUGAGCCGUAAUGCAAAGUAUAAAAGUUCCUUCUGUGAGUUCUUGCUAGCUUCUAGUUUGAGAAUAUGUAUACACACACACACACACACGCACACGCACAUUAACACAAGUAGCUGACGUGUGGGCGAUUGGCGCGUAGUUAAUGCAUGCAAGGUUGAUAGAUAAGGUCAUAAGGAGGAUCAAAUGGUGCAAUUAAUUAAUCAAUUGUAGAUAAUUAAGAUAUUGAAUUAAGGAAAUAAU